GGCCGAGAAGGAGGCCAAGUCGCCCAAGAAGAAGACCUCCACCAAGUCCCCCAAGAAGAAGGUCGCCGCCAAGGAGUAGAAUUCCCCAUAGCAUAGCCAUUGUUGCUUAGAUCCAUUUCUCAUGGACAAGAUGAGCAGUCUUUUGGUUAGUUAGAUGAGUAGUGGUUCUGCCCUUAGAUUCGCUGAGAAAGGGUGGCAUUAUGUCUGUGAUUUCUGUAGGAAUGGCUAAAUAUGCAAUCGCUCAGAUCUUAAUUCUCUUGUUCUAUCUGUGGGUGAAAUUGAUCCUGUUAAUCCUUGCUUCCUGUGCUGUUUUAUCCUAGUACUAAAUUCUCACUUAUAUCGGCUGAAAAAUCCCCCAAUUCUUUGCUCUCUGAAUUAUGGUGCUCAAUUGCAAACACUGAUUGUAAAUUCCUUAUGAAGAUCAACACAAUCAUAUUACUAUUGAGCUGCAGAGAAAAAAUUCGCACCUCAUGAUCAGCUUUCUGUCAGUCAGCACCACCAUCUUAGACUUGCUCAAGCAUGUACCAACGAACCACAAAAGCCAUGCCAAGACAUUCCUGCAGUUAAUUUCGCCUUGAUCUUUCCCUCUGUAGUUGAGUUCUUUACAUGUUGUAUUCACAGGCCAAACAAAUUCUUCCGGUUGGAGUUGAGCCGGCCGUAUGCAAACUGAAGUUUGGGGAGUCAGGACUCAGGUGUAUGUAACAAACCACAAACCAGAUUUAUGAUUUAUGAGCCACUAGCCAGAUAAGGUACUAAUUUAGAUUGACCUAAAGCAGAAACAAACAUUGAGGAAUUAAGAUAGCAACCAUGCUCAUGUAAGAAAACUGAUAUAGUGAUGUUUCACUUCGUUCCAUCAAUAAAAAAAUAUUUUUCUGAAAGUAAAAUUGGUAACCACCAUGGAAAUACAACAGGUACAAAUCUCAGUAAAAAAACUUUGAAUUGAACACAUUGAUUCUCCGCUAAAUCGCUUGCAACCAAAACUAGUACCGAGUCCAUGGAAGGUCUUGUGCUAAGGAUAUAGGUUUUGUGUACGCUUCUCUUGUUUUUCAUGCUGUUUUCGAGGGUUUAUAUCGUUUUUUCCAUUAUAUUUUUCUGUUUGUUACAUUUUUCUUUUGCUGAAUUCCAUUUUAUUGUUUCAUUUUUUAUUUUUCCUCUGUUGUCUCUAUUUAUUUUUCCUAUUCGUCUUCUUUCAAAGUUUUCCCUUUUUACUUUUUCGUCGACUUUCUCUUAUUUGUUUUUGUUUUGUCUCGGAUUUUUAGUACUUUUUAUAAAUAUAUUUUUUAAAAUACAUAUUUUUAAAAAUAAAAACAUGAACCGUUCUUAAAAUGGCACAUACAUGUUUUGUAAAAACUUUAUGAGAAAACUUUUCAAAUGACCCAUCACUUUUAAAACAUAAAUAUUUUUUCAACACAUCAACACUUUUAAUAACUACAUUAAUAACUUUUAAGAAUUACAAUUGUGAACACUUCUAGAAAUUAAGAACAUUUAUUUUAAACAUGCAAGCUCUUUUUUCGAAUUACAUUAGCACUUAAAACAACUGAACAUAAAUCACAAUAACACUUUUUAAGUCUAUUUGGAUAUUUUUUAAUGUGCAAAUUUAUUUCAACAUUAGAGUAUCACUUUUUAAAAAUAUGUGAACACUUUCUUGUAACUUCAUGAACAUGUUUCAGAAUGGAGCAAACAUUUUGUUAAAUGAUACUAUAUAAAAUACAUGAAACAUUUAUCAGGUUACUUUAAUUAUAGUAAAGAAAUGCAUGACCACUAAUUUAAAAACUUGAUCUUUUAAAAUCUACAUGAACAUUUUUUUUAAACAUACAAAUAUGUUUUGAAAGCCACGAGCAUUAUCAGAUACAUUUUAUAAAAUUACAUAAAAAGUUCAUCUGUGUGAAAAAUUGGUAGCACAAAUAUUUUUAUUUUUUUAACUUAUUUAUUUUACAUUGUACUUAUAAAAGCGACAAAAAACAUAAAACCAUUGGGGGUGAAGAGACUCACUCACGCCCGGCCACUCGCAUCUGGUACUCAGUUUUUUUCUCGAUGUAUGGACUCAGGUACUCCUUUCAUUCCAUUUUCUUGUCGUAGUUUUAGUUCAAAUUUAGUGCUUACCAGUUAACUAUACCUUCGUGUUGCAUACAUGGGCUAGUCCAAAAUAGAACAUACGUUAGCGGCGCACGUGUUGAACACUAUACCACCAUUGGCGCCUGCUUGUAAUUACGAUGCUCAGUUGAACGGUGGCCCAGUAGGGAUUGCUCCUCGCUCUGCCCAAUGUAACAGCGCCAUUCGCAAAGGCUAUAUCUCUUUUACUGUUUCUCUCAAAAAUAUAUUUCUUUUUUUUUGCAAUGAAAAGGGAGUUUUAUUCCGUAUUUAUUGGGUUACAAUCAAAGAGGCAAUAAUUCCCCAAUACAUGGAGGUGUAUGACCUAGUCACACCUCGGUGGCAUGUUCCGAACGACUAUAUUGAUCUCGUCUAAGUUUCUGAGGAUGUAGCAUGUACUCACCUCUGGCGCUUGGGGUGCUCACAUCUUAGUGGGCCAGUCCAUUGAACCCAUUUUGGGGCGGUUCUCACGAUUGGGUUUUAGAACCUUCCUUGCAGUUUUUUAUUUUUGUUUUUCUGUGUAUCAAAUACAGUACAUGAAAACAUUUUUCAAAUACAUGUUAUGAAAGCAAGUUAAAUAUUUUUCAAACACAUGGUGACUAUUUUUUGAAUGGAUGAAACAUUUCUUUAAAAAUAGAUGAAGAAUUUUCGUACAAUAUAUAAUUUUUUUUCUGAAAUAUAGGUUUGAAUGUUCUUAUGCCUACAUUAAAACUUUUUGCAAAUUCAUGGGAAUUUUUCCAAUGAUAGGAAACAAAAAAUUUAAACUACGUGAUCAUUUUUAUGCAUUGUACAACCAUUUCUUAAAAUUUUCAUAAACUUAUUUCUGAAAUGUGUGAACAGCUUUUUAAAUUUCACAAUUUCUUUUGAAUGAAACGAUUUUUUAAAAGAUACACAUAUAUUUUCUCCAUUGUUCAAACGUUUUUAAAAAAUGGUAAGUACAUUUUUUUGAAACACACAAACAUUUUGAAAUUGUCACCACCAUCUUGUUGAAUAGUAUGACAUUUUAAAACAAUUAUGCAAACAAAUGUUUUAUAUUGUGUUAGCAUUUUCUAAAUGCUAGAGCAGUAUUUAAAAAUUUUCAAGUUAGUUAAUUGUUGAAUAUAUAUAGCAUCUAUUGUUGUGUUUUCAAAAUCAUAAAAAGGUAAAAAAACAAUGAAACAAAUGAAACUAACGAACCUAACACUUUUGGGUCGGCCCACCAUACGUCGUGCUUAAGGCAAGGUGUUGUUGGUCUUGUAGAAGCGAGAGAAAGCAUCACACUGCCCAAUAUAGAGCAUCUUCAACUGCUAACAAGGAUUAUAUAGCGCUUAUUGCGAGAAGUUCCGAAUAAGUAGGGUCAAUAGUUCAGCAUUUAGGUCGUAACAUUUAGCAAUAAAGGAAUCUUAGACUCAACAAGUGCUUUCCGAACCUCACCAACCAACCUGGAUUUUGAUUCUUUUUUGUUAUUCUAACCGGAUAUAAAAACCAUAAAGAUUGUUUCCAGCCGAGUACCCAUAUGACAUAAGCGCUCUUGGGUGGGGUGGGCCCUCAUUCUCCAGGUCUUUGAGUGCACGUCGUACCACGUGGUUGGUACACUAGGCGAAUAGAUACUUACUUUAAGGAUUUGGCACCUUUGCUAGAUGGAGAUUAAGUGACUUCUAUUAGCACCGGACCAUCGAGUCGAAUUUCUCGUGUCAUGUGCCUAGCCUCACCACUAGCGAAGUAGCCGACUCAUUAAACCACUUUUUGGGAUGGGAAUGCAUAGAAAGAAAAGAAAGAAACAAACCAAAUGAAUAAACGAACGAACUUACAACCGGGUCAGCCCACUAGGGAUCGAGAUAUAGCCUGUGUCCCUGACAGGACCUCCUAUUUGACCGGAGUCAACACACAGAUGGCAAUGGGGCCCCGAAACCCGCGUCCCCGUGGGUUUUACCCUAUUGGGGGACGGGGAUAGGCAUCUUUUCAUCCCCGCGGGGCUGUUGUUGGGCACAUUAUACAACCCGACACGUUUCGUGGGUUUACACACGUUUCGGUAGUCCCCGAACCCGAAACCCGGCAAUACCCGCGAAAUUACAUUAUUUUUUACCACCGUAGCCAUCUUACCCCCGAAAUCUUAGAGGCCUUGAUGUGUUCAAUAUUGGAUAAGAAACAAAUAUAAAGGUGUGUCUUUCUUUACAUAUCAUCAUAAAGUUUAUCAUUAUCUUGCUACAAUGUUUCAUAAGAUGUUCAUUACUACUUAUUUGAUUCUCAUAGAUGCUGAAAAUGAAUAAGGACAAAGCUUUUGGAGUUGUUUUCAAGACAUUCAAGAGGGAAUGCAGGUGAAGUACAGGUACUUGCAAAUUUCAUAUACUAAUCUACAUAUUGUUCUCAUGUUUAACUUUAGCUUGAGUGAAUUUUGAUCUUCCCUAGGACUUGGCAUUUUGAUUUGGCAUUGGAAGAUUUGAAGAUGGUCGUUUGGAGGCUUGGAGAUGUGAAAGAUGCCAUGAUGAUUCCAACUUUAAAGUGAUUUGUGAACUAUAAGUUCUAUUUCCGAACUUAUAUAGCCGUUGAACUAUCUACUAUUGUUUUUUGUUGAAAUUUACUCAAGUUAUGCUGCUGAAAUGUGCUUGUUUUGCUGCUGAAGUGUUAUUCCUUGUCGCCACUAUGUUUGUUUAAAUAUUUUGAUUUUAUCGUGGGUUCCCCGAAAUCCGAUGGGUUUAGGGGACGGGCUGAAAACUAGCCUCGCACACAAUGAUGGGGACGGGGAUGGGUUUACGAUUUUCUCAUGGGGAUGGGUUUGGGAAGGCAAAACCCGAUGGGUUUCGUCCCUGUUGCCAUCCAUGCGUGUGUUGAUGGGCCGACUCAUUAGCAUUAUGCGGUAGCAAGCCGAAAGCAAUAGAGUUUUCUUGAUGAUGUAUGGUAGCGAACCGAUGAACUGUAGAAAACGAGUGUAUUAUAUGUAGCGAGCCAAUUUAUCUUAGCAGUAGAUGCACUAUAUCGACCGGGAUAAUGUAGCAAGCAUUUUUAAAAUAUUGAGAAAAUGUUAUUGAAAUUGUGAACAAUCUUUGAAAACACAGACAAUUUUUAAAACGCUGAAUAAUUUUUGAAAGAUUGGAUAGUUUUCAUUUUUUUAAUGAUUUUUAGCAAUUCCAUUCAUUUUUGAAAAAACAAACAAUUUUUAAUUACAAAACUUUUAAAAGAAUAUGAACAUUUUUCUCAAAAUUUGAACAUUUUUUAAGUUCCAAUUUUUUUAACGAUAUGAUUUUUAAAAGAAAUUCUAAACAUUGUAUUUAAUAACAAGGAUGGAUUGUCAUCUAGCUACUGCCAUGUACCCAUAGUCCAAAGAAAACUACUCAUGUGAAAUUAUGGUAGUAGCAAGGUUUAUGUUGAUGGCUGCCGUGAUGAAUUCCCUCAUGGAGAGUAUGGGAAAAUGCAUAUAGAUUGGAUCAUGACGGGACAUAGAGGUGUGGCUGUGAAUUGUUUGCCUCUAUAUAAAAUCGGUGUUUUCGUGCAAUUAUAAAGGUGGAGGUGCCGAGAGGUGGUGGAGCGGAGUCCCAUGGGGCCCAUGUGGACACCCCUCGCAUCGUGGGGCCCAUAUGACUCUCCAAGCAGGGCUAGGUGCCUCUGGAAGCUUCUGGACUUGAAUCAUUUUUGGGAAUUGCCCCCCUUUUUGAGCUUGUGAAAAUUGAUUUUACUUAAAAGCCACAAAACUACACAAAACAACAUUUUGUCCUUGGACCGAAUUAAUAGGUUAGUUCGAAAAAAAUUGGUGCUAAAACUAUGGAAAAUAACGUAAUUAUAUUAUGAAACAAGCGAAAAUUGUGCACACAUCUAAGACAUAUGAAAAGCACUCGAGUGUAAAUACCAAGAAUUCGCGACAAAAUCAAGGAACCUCGGGAUGGCUGUGAGUACAUAUGGACUGAAUUCGUUUGUGAACUAGCACAUAACAUAACACAUGGCGUGUGUUUGUAUGGUUAUACAACCCCAUGGCUCUACAUAAAGCGGAAGUAUAUACACACAUGGUUAUGCUAAUUCAAGGGCCGACACAACCAAGGAACAAUAUUAACUUGUAUCUCCAGCUAUUGAAGGAUGAUGUACACAUCAUGGGCUGCUGGAGGGGUCAAUACCUGGGAUGCCAAUGAAGGGGAUCAUUUCCCUACAAGAGUUGUGCUGAUCACAAUGGUGCAACGCUAUCUUGGUUAUGUAUAUGUCUCCUGCAGGUAUGCCAUGGGCACUGCAAAUGUGUUACGUGUAUGGAUGAUACAACUUUUGACGAGACAUCAAAAGCCAGCUCUUGCAAAAUUGUGUUUAUGGGGCGUUGAAAGUGGCUUCAGAAGGAUGUAGUGGAUAACUCGCAAAGAUCUGUUCGACAGUAAAACUCAAGACCGAUUAAAGUCACGUACAAGAAGCGAAGAAAAAAAGCCGCCAUAUGUUGAACGACAGAACUAGUGCCCUAAGUCAGGAUAGAAGCAAAAGGCCCCAUAGAAGUCAUUGUUAACAAUAUGAAAAAGGGAGUCUGCUUUUUGGGGCUUGUCGUAUUGGAUAGUUCCCGAUACACCUCGUUGUCUUGAUGUCAUGCAGCUCACAAAGAAUGUCUAUGAGAGUUUGCUUGGCACAUAGUUUGACAUGUCGAAAAAAGAAAAAGUUAGGUUGAAGGCAAGAUAAGACUUGGAAGACCUUGGUAUUAGGGCUGAGUUGCACGCACAUCAUGAGUAGAGGAAACAACCACGUGCAAUUUUUUUCUUCCAAAAUUCAAGGAUGACAACUCCCUCUGUUGGGGAACGUAUCAGAAUUUUAAAAUUUUCUACGCAUCACCAAGAUCAAUCUAUGUAGUCAUCUAGCAACAAGGGAGAGAGGAGUGCAUCUACAUACCCUUAUAGAUCGCGUGCGGAAGUGUUCAAAAGAACGGGGUUGAUGGAGUCGUACUCGACGUGAUCCAAAUCACCGAUGACCUAGCGCCGAACGGACGGCACCUCCGCGUUCAACACACGUACGGUUGGGAAGACGUCUCGUCCAACUUGAUCCAGCAAGGGGGAAGGAGAGGUUGAUGAAGAUCCAGCAGCACGACGGUGUGGUGGUGGAAGCAACGGUGAUCUCGGCAGGGCUUCGUCAAGCACAGGGAGAGGGAGGAGUGUCACGGGAGGGAGAGGGAGAGGCCAGGGGCUAGGGUGCGGCUGCCCUCCCUCCCCCCCACUAUUUAUAGGACCCCUAGGGGGGCGCCGGCCCUAGGAGAUGCCAUCUCCAAGGGGGGGUGGCGGUCAAGGGGGUGGCUUGCCCCCCAAGGCAAGUGGGGUGCCCCCCACCCCUAGGGUUUCCAACCCUAGGCGCAGGGGGAGGCCCAUGGGGGGCGCACCAGCCCACUAGGGGAUGGUUCCCCUCCCACUUCAGCCCAUGGGGCCCUCCGGGAUAGGUGGCCCCACCCGGUGGACCCCCGGGACCCUUCCGGUGGUCCCGGUACAAUACCAAUUACCCCUGAAACUUUCCCGAUGGCCGAAACUUGACUUCCUAUAUAUAAAUUUUCACCUCCGGACCAUUCCGGAACUCCUCGUGACGUCUGGGAUCUCAUCCGGGACUCCGAACAACUUUCGGGUUACCGUAUACUAAUAUCUCAACAACCCUAGCAUCACCAAACCUUAAGUGUGUAGACCCUACGGGUUCGGGAGACACGCAUACAUGACCGAGACGACUCUCCGGUCAAUAACCAACAACGGAAUCUGGAUACCCAUGUUGGCUCCCACAUGCUUCUCGAUGAUCUCAUCGGAUGAACCACGAUGUCGAGGAUUCAAUCAAUCCGUAUACAAUUCCCUUUGUCAAUCGGUACGUUACUUGCCCGAGACUCGAUCGUCGGUAUCCCAAUACCUCGUUCAAUCUCGUUACCGGCAAGUCACUUUACUCGUACCGUAAUGCAUGAUCCCGUGAUCAACCACUUGGUCACAUUGAGCUCAUUAUGAUGAUGCAUUAUUGAGUGGGCCCAGAGAUACCUCUCCGUCAUACGGAGUGACAAAUCCCAGUCUCGAUUCGUGCCAACUCAACAGACACUUUCGGAGAUACCUGUAGUGUACCUUUAUAGUCACCCAGUUACGUUGUGACGUUUGGCACACCGAAAGCACUCCUCUGGUAUCCGGGAGUUGCACGGUCUCAUGGUCUAAGGAAAUGAUACUUGACAUUCGGAAAAGCUACAGCAAACGAACUACACGAUCUUUGAGCUAUGCUUAGGAUUGGGUCUUGUCCAUCACAUCAUUCUCCUAAUGAUGUGAUCCCGUUAUCAAUGACAUCCAAUGUCCAUAGUCAGGAAACCAUGACUAUCUUUUGAUCAACGAGCUAGUCAACUAGAGGCUCACUAGGGACGUGUUGUGGUCUAUGUAUUCACACAUGUAUUACAAUUUCCGGAUAACACAAUUAUAGCAUGAAUAAUAGACAAUUAUCAUGAACAAAGAAAUAUAAUAAUAACCAUUUUAUUAUUGCCUCUAGGGCAUAUUUCCAACAGUCUCCCACUUGCACUAGAGUCAUUAGUCUAGUUACAUUGUGAUGAAUCGAACACCCAUGCAGUUCUGGUGUUGAUCAUGUUUUGCUCUAGGGAGAGGUUUAGUCAACGGAUCUGCCACAUUCAGGUCCGUAUGUACUUUACAAAUCUCUAUGUCUCCAUUUUGAACACUUUCACGAAUGGAGUUGAAGCGACGCUUGAUAUGCCUGGUAUUCCUGUGAAACCUGGGCUCCUUGGCAAGGGCAAUAGCUCCAGUGUUGUCACAGAAGAGAGUCAUCGGGCCUGACGCAUUGGGUAUGACUCCUAGGUCGGUAAUGAACUCCUUCACCCAGAUUGCCUCUUGUGCUGCCUCCGAGGCUGCCAUGUACUCCGCUUCACAUGUAGAUCCCGCCACAAUGCUUUGCUUGCAACUGCACCAGCUUACUGCCCCACCAUUCAAAAUAUACACUUAUCCGGUUUGUGACUUAGAGUCAUCCAGAUCUGUGUCGAAGCUAGCAUCGACGUAACCCUUUACGACGAGCUCUUCGUCACCUCCAUAAAUGAGAAACAUAUCCUUAGUCCUUUUCAGGUACUUCAGGAUAUUCUUGACCGCUGUCAAGUGUUCCAUGCCGGGAUUACUUUGGUACCUUCCUACCAAACUUACGGCAAGGUUUACAUCAGGUCUGGUACACAGCAUAGCAUACAUGAUAGACCCUAUGACCGAGGCAUAGGGGACGACACUCAUCUUUUCUCUAUCUUCUGCCGUGGUCGGGCAUUGAGCCGUGCUCAAUCUCGUACCUUGCAAUACACGCAAGAAUCCCUUCUUUGACUGAUCCAUUUUGAACUUCUUCAAUAUCUUGUCAAGGUACGUACUCUGUGAAAGACCAAUGAGGCGUCUCGAUCUAUCUCUAUAGAUCUUGAUGCCUAAUAUAUAAGCAGCUUCUCCAAGAUCCUUCAUUGAAAAACACUUGUUCAAGUAGGCCUUUAUGCUUUCCAAGAAUUCUAUAUCAUUUCCCAUCAACAGUAUGUCAUCCACAUACAAUAUGAGAAAUGCUACAGAGCUCCCACUCACUUUCUUGUAAAUGCAGCCUUCUCCAUAAGUCUGCGUAAACCCAAACGCUUUGAUCAUCUCAUCAAAACGAAUGUUCCAACUCCGAGAUGCUUGCACCAGCCCAUAAAUCGAGCGUUGGAGCUUGCACACCUUGUCAGCAUUCUUAGGAUUGACAAAACCUUCCGGCUGCAUCAUAUACAAUUCUUCCUUAAGGAAACCAUUAAGGAAUGUCGUUUUGACGUCCAUUUGUCAUAUCUCAUAAUUAUAGAAUACGGCAAUUGCUAACAUGAUUCGGACGGACUUCAGCUUCGCUACGGGUGAGAAAGUCUCAUCGUAGUCAACCCCUUGAACUUGUCGAUAACCCUUAGCGACAAGCCGAGCUUUAUAGAUGGUUACGUUACCAUCCGCGUCUGUCUUCUUCUUAAAGAUCCAUUUAUUUUCUAUGGCUCGCCGAUCAUCGGGCAAGUCAGUCAAAGUCCAUACUUCGUUUUCAUACAUGGAUCCUAUCUCGGAUUUCAUGGCUUCCAGCCAUUUGACGGAAUCCGAGCCCGCCAUCGCUUCUUCAUAGUUCGAAGGUUCACCGUUGUCUAACAACAUGAUUUCCAAGACAUGGUUGCCAUACCACUCUCGUGCGGAACGUGUCCUCAUGGACCUACAAAGUUCAGUAGCAACUUGAUCUGAAGUUUCAUGAUCAUCAUCAUCAACUUCCUCUCUAGUUGGUGCAGGCACCUCAGGGAUAUUUUCUUGAGCUGCGCCACUUACCGGUUCAAGAGGUAAUACUUCAUCAAGUUCUACUUUCCUCCCACUUAUUUCUUUUGAGAGAAACUCUUUCUCUAGAAAGGACCCAUUCUUGGCAACAAAGAUCUUGUCUUCGGAUCUGAGGUACAAGCUAUACCCAAUAGUUUCUUUAGGGUAUCCUAUAAAGACGCAUUUUUCCGAUUUGGGUUCGAGCUUUUCAGGUUGAAGUUUCUUGACAUAAGCAUCGCAUCCCCAAACUUUUAGAAACAACAGCUUAGGUUUCUUCCCAAACCAUAAUUCAUACGGUGUCGUCUCAACGGAUUUCGACGGAGCCCUAUUUAAAGUGAAUGCGGCAGUCUCUAAAGCAUAGCCCCAAAAUGACAGCAGUAGAUCGGUAAGAGACAUCAUAGAUUGCACCAUAUCCAAUAGAGUGCGAUUACGACGUUCGGACACACCAUUACACUGAGGUGUUCCAGGCAGCGUGAGUUGUGAAACUAUUCCACAUUUUCUUAAGUGUGUGCCAAAUUCGUGACUCAAGUAUUCUCCCCCACGAUCUGAUCGCAAGAACUUGAUUUUCCUGUCACGUUGAUUCUCAACCUCGCUCUGAAAUUCCUUGAACUUUUUAAAGGUCUCAGACUUGUGUUUCAUUAAGUAGACAUACCCAUAUCUACUCAAGUCAUCAGUGAGGGUGAGAACAUAAUGAUAGCCACCGCGAACCUCAACACUCAUUGGACCGCACACAUCAGUAUGUAUGAUUUCUAAUAAGUUGGUUGCUUGCUCCAUUGUUCCUGAGAACGGAGUCUUGGUCAUUUUACCCAUGAGGCAUGGUUCGCACGUGUCAAAUGAUUCAUAAUCAAGAGACUCCAAAAGUCCAUCUGCAUGGAGCUUCUUCAUGCGUUUGACACCUAUGUGACCAAGACGGCAGUGCCACAAGUAUGUGGGACUAUCAUUAUCAACCUUACAUCUUUUGGCAUUCACACUAUAAAUAUGUGUAACAUUACGCUCGAGAUUCAUUAAGAAUAAACCAUUCAUCAACGGAGCAUGACCAUAAAACAUAUCUCUCAUAUAAAUAGAACACUCAUUAUUCUCGGAUUUAAAUGAGUAGCCAUCUCGAAUUAAACGAGAUCCUGAUACAAUGUUCAUGCUCAAACUUGGCACUAAAUAACAAUUAUUGAGGUUCAAAACUAAUCCCGUAGGUAAAUGUAGAGGUAGCGUGCCGACGGCGAUCACAUCGACCUUGGAACCAUUCCCGGCGCGCAUCGUCACCUUGUCCUUCGCCAGUCUCCGCUUAUCCCGCAGCUCCUGCUUUGAGUUACAAAUGUGAGCAACCGCACCGGUAUCAAAUACCCAAGAGCUACUACGAGUACUGGUAAGGUAUACAUCAAUUACAUGUAUAUCACAUAUAUCUUUAGUGUUGCCGGCCUUCUUGUCCGCUAAGUAUUUGGGGCAGUUCCGCUUCAAGUGACCACUUCCCUUGCAAUAAAAACACUCAGUCUCAGGCUUGGGUCCAUUCUUUGACUUCUUCCUGGCAGCUGCUUACCGGGCGUGGCAACUCCCUUGCCGUCCUUCUUGAAGUUCUUCUUACCCUUACCUUUCUUGAACUUAGUGGUUUUAUUCACCAUCAACACUUGAUGUUCCUUUUUGAUUUCCACCUCUGCUGAUUUCAGCAUUGAAUAUACCUCAGGAAUGGUCUUUUCCAUCCCCUGCAUAUUGAAGUUCAUCACGAAGCUCUUGUAGCUUGGUGGAAGCGACUAAAGGAUUCUGUCAAUGACCGCGUCAUCCGGGAGAUUAACUCCUAGCCGAGUCAAGCGGUUAUGCAACCCAGACAUUUUGAGUAUGUGCUCACUGAUAGAACUAUUUUCCUCCAUCUUACAACUGAAGAACUUGUCGGAGACUUCAUAUCUCUCGACCCGGGCAUGAGCUUGGAAAACCAUUUUCAGCUCUUCGAACAUCUCAUAUGCUCCGUGUCUCUCAAAACGCUUUUGGAGCCCCGGUUCUAAGCUCUAAAGCAUGCCGCACUAAACGAGGGAGUAAUCAUCAGCAUAUGACUGCCAAGCGUUCAUAACGUCUUGGUUCUCUGGGAUGGGUGCGUCACCUAGCGGUGCUUCUAGGACAUAAUCUUUCUUGGCAGCUAUGAGGAUGAUCCUCAGGUUCCGGACCCAGUCCGUAUAGUUGUUGCCAUCAUCUUUCAGCUUGGUUUUCUCUAAGAACGCGUUGAAGUUGAGGACAACGUGGGUCAUUUGAUCUACAAGACAUAUUAUAAAGAUUUUAGACUAAGUUCAUGAUAAUUAAGUUCAUCUAAUCAAAUUACUCAAUGAACUCCCACUCAGAUAGACAUCCCUCCAGUCAUUUAAGUGAAACAUGAUCCGAGUUAACUAGGCCGUGUCCGAUCAUCAUGUGAGACGGACUAGUCAACAUCGAUGAACAUCUUCAUGUUGAUCGUACCUUCUAUACGACUCAUGCUCGACCUUUCGGUCUUCUGUGUUCCGAGGCCAUGUCUGUACAUGCUAGGCUCGUCAAGUCAACCUAAGUGUAUUGCGUGUGUAAAUCUGGCUUACACCCGUUGUAUUCGAACGUUAGAAUCUAUCACACCCGGUCAUCACGUGGUGCUUCGAAACAGUGAACCUUCGCAACGGUGCACAGUUAGGGGGAACACUUUCUUGAAAUUAUUAUGAGGGAUCAUCUUAUUUAAGCUACCGUCGUUCUAAGCAAAUAAGAUGUAAAAUAUGAUAAACAUCACAUGCAAUCAAAUAGUGACAUGAUAUGGCCAAUAUCAUUUGCUCCUUUUGAUCUCCAUCUUCGGGGCUCCAUGAUCAUCGUUGUCACCGGCAUGACACCAUGAUCUCCAUCAUAGUGUCUUCUUGAAGUUGUCUCGUCAUCUAUUACUUCUACUACUAUGGCUAACGCUUUAGCAAUAAAGUAAAGUAAUUACAUGAUGUUUAUGUUGACACGCAGGUCAUAAAUAAAUAAAGACAACUCCUAUGGCUCCUGCUGGUUGUCAUACUCAUCGACAUGCAAGUCGUGAUUCCUAUUACAAGAACAUGAUCAAUCUCAUACAUCACAUAUAUCAUUCAUCACAUCCUUUUGGCCAUAUCACAUCACAUGGCACAUGCUGCAAAAACAAGUUAGACAUCCUCUAAUUGUUGUUGCAAGUUUUUACGUGGCUGCUAUAGGUUUCUAGCAAAAACGUUUCUUACCUACGCCAAAACCACAACGUGAUAUGCCAAUUUCUAUUUACCCUUCAUAAGGACCCUUUUCAUCGAAUCUGAUCCGACUAAAGUGGGAGAGACAGACACCCGCCAGCCAUCUUAUGCAACUAGUGCAUGUCAAUCGGUGGAACCAGUCUCACGUAAGCGUACGUGUAAGGUCGGUCUGGGCCGCUUCAUCCCACGAUGCCCCCGAAUCAAGAUAAGACUAGUAACGGCAAGCAAAUUGACAAUAUCCACGCCCACAACUGCUUUGUGUUCUACUCGUGCAUAGAAACUACGCAUAGACCUAGCUCAUGAUGCCACUGUUGGGGAAUGUAGCAGAAUUUUAAAAUUUUCUACGCAUCACCAAGAUCAAUCUAUGGAGUCAUCUAACAACGAGGGAGAAAGGAGUGCAUCUACAUACCCUUGUAGAUCGCGUGCGGAAGCGUUCAAGAGAACGGGGUUGAUGGAGAAGUACUCGAUGUGAUCCAAAUCACCGAUGACCUAGCGCCGAACGGACGGCACCUCCGCGUUCAACACACGUACGGUUGGGAAGACGUCUCGUCCAACUUGAUCCAGCAAGGGGGAAGGAGAGGUUGAUGAAGAUCCAGCAGCACGAUGGUGUGGUGGUGGAAGCAACGGUGAUCUCGGCAGGGCUUCGCCAAGCACAGGGAGAGGGAGGAGUGUCACGGGAGGGAGAGGGAGAGGCCAGGGGCUAGGGUGCGGCUGCCCUCCCUCCCCCCCACUAUUUAUAGGACCCCUAGGGGGGUGCCGGCCCUAGGAGAUGCCAUCUCCAAGGGAGGGCGGCGGCCAAGGGGGUGGCUUGCCCCCCAAGGCAAGUGGGGCGCCCCCCACCCCUAGGGUUUCCAACCCUAGGCGCAGGGGGAGGCCCAUGGGGGGGGCGCACCAGCCCACUAGGGGCUGGUUCCCCUCCCACUUCAGCCCAUGGGGCCCUCCGGGAUAGGUGGCCCCACCCGGUGGACCCCCGGGACCCUUCCGGUGGUCCCGGUAUAAUACCGAUUACCCCCGAAACUUUCCCGAUGGCCUAAACUUGACUUCCUAUAUAUAAAUCUUCACCUCCGGACCAUUCCGGAACUCCUCGUGACGUCCGGGAUCUCAUCCGGGACUCCAAACAACUUUCGGGUUACUGUAUACUAAUAUCUCAACAACCCUAGCGUCACCGAACCUUAAGUGUGUAGACCCUACGGGUUCGGGAGACACGCAGACAUGACCGAGAAGACUCUCUGGUCAAUAACCAACAGCGGGAUCUGGAUACCCAUGUUGGCUCGCACAUGCUCCUCGAUGAUCUCAUCGGAUGAACCACGAUGUCGAGGAUUCAAUCAAUCCGUAUACAAUUCCCUUUGUCAAUCGGUACGUUACUUGCCCGAGACUCGAUCGUCGGUAUCCCAAUACCUCGUUCAAUCUCGUUACCGGCAAGUCACUUUACUCAUACCGUAAUGCAUGAUCCCGUGAUCAACCACUUGGUCACAUUGAGCUCAUUAUGAUGAUGCAUUAUCGAGUGGGCCCAGAGAUACCUCUCUGUCAUACGGAGUGACAAAUCCCAGUCUCGAUUCGUGCCAACCGAACAGACACUUUCGGAGAUACAUGUAGUGUACCUUUAUAGUCACCCAGUUACGUUGUGAUGUUUGGCACACCCAAAGCACUCAUCCGGUAUCCGGGAGUUGCACAAUCUCAUGGUCUAAGGAAAUGAUACUUGACAUUCGGAAAAGCUACAUCAAACGAACUACACGAUCUUUGAGCUAUGCUUAGGAUUGGGUCUUGUCCAUCACAUCAUUCUCCUAAUGAUGUGAUCCCGUUAUCAAUGACAUCCAAUGUCCAUAGUCAGAAAACCAUGACUAUCUUUUGAUCAGCGAGCUAGUCAACUAAAGGCUCACUAGGGACGUGUUGUGGUCUAUGUAUUCACACAUGUAUUACGAUUUCCGGAUAACACAAUUAUAGCAUGAAUAAUGGACAAUGAUCAUGAAAAAAGAAAUAUAAUAAUAACCAUUUUAUUAUUGCCUCUAGGGCAUAUUUCCAACACCCUCCCCCUCCCCCACACACAUUCGCUUUACUCUAGAUGAGAAGGAGCCCAAUCAAGUCUUCAACUGUCUUCAAGGUAUCAAAGUUGGUUCCACUUACUUAGGGAGUAUAUGCAUAUAUGUGCGGUUAAUGGACAAAUGUUCAACGGGACGAAGUCUCAUGAUUGUUGUGAUCAUGUCACAAAUACUUCCGUUUGCUAUUAGAGGCAUAACAGAUAAGCGCGUCCGCAAAACACUCCUUGUCCUUUGUAAUUUCUUCGAUAUUAUCUCUCAAAAGUCGAUCAACUUAGAAGUGCAAGGCUACAGGAGGAAAACAUUAUUAUAUUAUGUGAGCUUGAGAACUACUUCCCCCCGCACUCUUUGAUGUUAUGGUUAUAAUCCCCAAGUGCAAAAACUAUUGCAACACUUCCCAAAGUGGAGGUGGUACAUAUGAAGUGUCAAUAUCACAGAUGAGCUAAAGGUAGGAAUCAUAUUCUCUCAAGUUCUAUAUGACACUGACAUAAUCCUGCAUAUAUUAAAUGUUGUUUUACGUGGAAUUUCUACUAAAAGAUACCUCCUUUGUUCCUAAAUAUAAUUCUUUUUAGAGAUUUCAAUGUGGACUACAUACAGAGCAAAAUGAGUGAAUCUACACUCUUAAAUAUGUCUAUAUACAUCCAUAUGUAUUCUUUGUUAAAAUAUAUAUAAAAAGACAUAUAUUUAGAAACAAAGGGAGUAGUUUGCAAGUUUUUGAGAGGGCGAAUGUGGGGUAGUGGUGGAAGGUGUUGCAAAAUUGUUGCUCACCAAUUGUCUAUGAUACCGGAUCGAUAAUCAUACAUUUUCCAGUCUCAUACGCAGGAGAGGCAUAUGCUAACAUGCAGUGACAUCCAUUGACAUCAUAUUCUUAUUGAUAAACCUUACAAAGCAUUGUACGAAGAAUUCAUUAAGUUAAAGCCCAACCAUAAGAUCUAUGGGUCCCGUGUAUCCCAUAUGCAUGAACUCUUAUACUCAUGUGAAAGUGAUAGCAUUGCUUUGUCAAUGACAAAAAUAUAUUAAUUGUAGAAUUCGGAGGUAACAUUUGUCGCUCGACUUGUUUUUUUUUUUUGGUGUAAGUCAAAAUGUUUAAGCCUUUACCCUAAAAUUUGUAGAUAGCAUUUUGGUGUGACAAUGAACACAACUUUUUUUUUUACAUUUGCAAAAUACAUUUUGUGUGCGCAUGAGCGUAUGCUGACUAGAGCCAAAUUGGAUUUCUGUGAAAAAAACAUGCAUAUAUAUGGCGCAGAAAGUGAAUCAAGUGCUAAAACAAAAUCUCUGCGCUCUGAUUGGUCGGUAGGACCGUCCCACGGAUCGCGCCCACCCUACUAAUCUCCACCGUCCACUACGCCAAGAUCCAACGGUGGGCGCAGCAUGUCACGCGGAUCGCUCCCUCCUCUGCUUCCCAAUAAAACCCGCGGCCACGCCGCCGUUCCAACACACAAACUCAGAGCAUUCCCAUCCAGCGCAACCGCCGCCAACACCACUCCUCGAGAGUCCUCGCCGCCGGAGAAGCAGCAAGCAAGAUGGCCGGAAGGAAGGGCGGCGACAGGAAGAAGGCGGUGACCAGGUCCGUCAAGGCCGGGCUCCAGUUCCCGGUCGGCCGCAUCGGGCGCUACCUCAAGAAGGGCCGCUACGCGCAGCGCGUCGGCUCCGGCGCCCCCGUCUACCUCGCCGCCGUCCUCGAGUACCUCGCCGCCGAGGUAUGCGCCGAUCUAUCCUCUCCUAGAGCCUCUGAUCUUCCCUCCUCUUGUCCCGAUUGACUGAUUUCGUUGGCUUUUGAAUGCGCAGGUCCUGGAGCUCGCCGGCAACGCGGCCAAGGACAACAAGAAGACCCGCAUCAUCCCGCGCCACCUGCUGCUCGCUGUCCGCAACGAUCAGGAGCUCGGCAAGCUGCUCGCCGGCGUCACCAUCGCCCACGGCGGUGUGAUCCCCAACAUCAACUCCGUGCUGCUCCCCAAGAAGUCCCCUGCCGCCGCCGAGAAGGAGGCCAAGUCGCCCAAGAAGAAGACGGCCGCCAAGUCCCCCAAGAAGAAGACGGCCGCCACGAAGGAGUAGCCGUCGUCCCCAUAGCCUAGCCAUUGUUGCUUAGAUCCAUUUCUCAUGGACUAAGAUGGGAUCCUGUAUGUAGUGCCUGCUAGUCUGUAGUGCCCGUCAGAUUCGUCGAGCAAGGGUGACAUUGUACCUGUGAUUUCUGUGAGAAUGGCGAAAGAUCCAAUCAUUUCAGUGUGUUGUUCUAUCUAUGGCUGCAAUGAUUUCAAUCCCUUGUUCUACAUAUGGCUGCAAUUGAUCUUGCGAAUGCUUGCUUCUUGCCUAUGCGUCUGAUGAUCUGAAAUUUUCCUAGGAUUCAGUUCACUUCAAGCUUAUUCCUAUCAAGCUGCAGGAAACUGAAUCUAUGAAGAACUGCACCUAGGAUUCUCAAUCAUACUCCACCUCUCCCUUCGUGGCAGCUUAUAAAUUGAGCUUCAGAAUUCCUGCAGUAAAACAUUUCAGUUUAGAGCUUGACCAUGCCGAAACAUUUUGCAGAAAUGUAACCUUGAUCUUUCUCUCUGUAGUUGAGCUGGUGACAUGUUGCUUUGUUCAUGAGCCAAAAGAAUUCUUAAAGUUGGAGUUGAGCCGACUACAUGCGAACUGAAGUUUGGAUAGUUGUUUGAUGCAGGUAACAAACCACAGACCUGACAACAUCUUGGCUGCUACUAGAUGCAAACUAUAAUAACUAGCCAGAUGAGGUGCUGAUUUUGUAAUCAGAUAAAGCUGAAACAGAUACUAUUGAGGAAUUUAGAAUUAGUCAGGCCCUUGGAAUAGAAUUAACACUUGACGAUUCCCAAUCAUCCUCCACCUCUGUCUGCGGCGCAGCCUAUAGAUCGGUGCUGGCUCUAAAUUGGACAAGUAAUAAGCAAGAUUCUUCAGAAGUACUGCAGACAAACAUGGCAAAUUAGAGCUUGAUCAUGCCGAAACAUUUUGCAGACAAUUGAUCCUUGAUCUUUCCCUUUGUAGUUGAGCUGGUUACAUGUUACUUUGUUGGACAAAAUAAUAAUUCCAGUUGGAGUCGAGCCGGCUACAUGCGAACUGAAGUUUGGAUAGUUUGAUGUAGGUAAAAAAACACAUAACGUUUUGGCUGCUAUAGAUGCAAACUACAAUAACUCGCCAGAUGAGGAGCUGAUCUUGUAAUCAGCUAAAGCAGAAACAGAUAUUGACAAAUUUAGAUACUAGGAUCAGUCAGGCCCCUUAAAAUGGUCCAGUAGAAAAAUGUUCUUCACCGGAGUGCACAAGAUUUCCUGGGUAAAUAAGCAAGUUAAUGUUGCAUGGUGGGAACAAUAGUAAGAAAGAAUUUCAGUAAAACUGAUGAAUAGGGAAAAAAUAGGUUAAAUGCAGAGUGGGUAUUCCGUAUAUCCAUCUGUUAAUUUUUUUUUACCAAAAAUAGGCCCAGUGGUGGGUUAACUUUUCUCCAUUCUGCUUUCCCCGUUGAAAUUUUAAAUUUGUUGUGGAAAACAGGCAUAUGGUAAUUUUGAAGUUCGGCAGAUGAUUGUUUAGAUAUUUUCCGCUUUAGGAAAACAAGCUAGGAAAAGCAAUUUAGAUGUUUCAUUCUAGCUAAAAGUUUUUUAAAUGAGUUGAAGACUUUUCAAUAUUUCCGCAUAUACUGACAGUCCUUCUCGUUUGAUUCUGGUUUGAUUUGUGGUAUGAUUGUGAAUCUGGUUUGAUUUAUGGUAUGAUUGAAUGUGCUCAUACCACUGCUCGUCUUCUGUUUUGUUAAAUUUAUGACUUGUGUCCGACUUCUUCUAUUUUGUGGUAUGUGUGGACAAGUUUGCAGACGCACUUGUAUGAGUAUGAGUGCUCGUCAGUCCUUCUAAUAACUUGGUCAUGUGUGGUCUCUAGCGAUAUGAGCUACGCUGCGACCGAGGGCUGUUGUAUCACUAGUCAACCGAUGGUGUUACGGCCCAGGGGUACCUCACCUUGUCGGUUACCGGUCCAAGUAGGACGGCCCGAGGCCCCUAGGGCGGUACCGCUUGGGCCAUCUUGUCAGCCCAUUGGCCCUCUAGGAGAAAUUUUUUUGAAGCCUUUUCGUUCAAGAGAAAGAAGUCGGAUCCGUGGAGGACUCCUCUCCACCGACGUUGCCAACUAGGACUCUUAAAACCCUAGGGCCCCCGAUAUCUUAUAUAAGCUAGGUUUGGGCUAGUCAACUAAACAUCUUAGACAUUACAAUCCUUCGGUAUUACAUGUACUUUGUAUACCCCGGUCAAAAUAUACACAAAGUAGGAGUAGAGGUUUUACAUCAAUCAUGAGGGCCUGAACCUUGGUAACUCGCUUCUUCUUUCUCCUCUAGCCUAAUCGCCAUGCCAGGAUACCCUACUGGGGGAUAUACCGGAAUCAUCUCCGACACCAUAAAAGGACCACAUCAGCCGGAAAACAACACCACAUCAACACUGAUACCACAGUACCAUUAGAGGGACCAACUUACUGUUAAGUAGUACACAUCCCAUAAGAAGCAGGCUUACCAGAACCCAAAGAACAAGCUACCUAAGCGAUAAGGUAGGAGAUAAGGAUACUCUCAGGUAGCAUAGAGGUGGGUGGCUGCUCCGGAUCCAGGCAGAGGCAUGGUGGGGCGCAGCGUGGUCCAGUUCUGGGCCUGGCAAGCAGGCGCAUGCAUGCAAGACUGGGCGCACCGAGAAGGUGCACGUGGUCCAGAUCGCAUGGUGCACGACGAGCUCGGGCAGGCCGGAGUAGUAGGGUGUGACCCGAAGGUUUUUGUGGCUCGAGAUCCGCGUGGUGCUUGCUCCUAGUGGCGUGUUGCUCGUGAGUGUGCACUUUGCAGCACGAUGGAGGAGCUUGAUGCAAGAUGCUAAGCGAGUGGUUUGAUGCGCAUAUGGCUUGUUAGGGGGGUUGCCCGAGUCCUGGGGCUUGGAGGGUGAUGAAGGCGAAAGAUGUAUUCUCACGAUGGCGCCUUCGAGCCCCUUUUCCUUGUUGGAGGUGUCAAGGUGGAAGUCCUCACUCCCCCCUCCCCCCGACAAGCUACAGUGGAAAACCUAGAUUUGCUUUACUGGGCGACGACAGUGUUGUUAGCUUUGCUUGGUGUGGCGCGCAUGCCCUCUUGAUGGCAUCGUUUCAGAGAUGGCGGUCGGUGGGACCUGUGGCUGGUGGAGUUGGCCGGUGACGGCUACUGUGUUUUCGCCCGUGUGGCGUGCUUACUGAAUUGGGUGGUGGGUAGUAGGAGCAUCCUUCACAUGUGGCGUGCGUCGGGUGAGGCACAUCAGCCAACCUCAUGGGAUGAAAACUGCAUGUGUUCGAUUUAACAGACAUAUCAGUCCUCUCUAAUGUCGUUGUGAUUCGUGAAGAAUCUUGUGAUAAGCCCAGACUAAUGCAAUGGCUUUCAGCAUGCAGUCUGGUAGCGGCGAAGGCGCUGGAGCCAGUUUUCCUCAAAUAUAAACCGAGCGGCCCUUUCUUCAUUCUUCUUUCUCUAGCACAUGCUUAUGCGGUGCAUUGCUUUAUUUGGGUGUUCAUGUAACACCCGUUUCUAAUCAAUGUUUCUUUUUUUCGGGGUUCUAAUCAAUGGUUUUAUUUUUUUUUAACUCUCUUUUCAUGCUCUGCAACGUGCUGUAUGUACACGGGAGUCCACACAUCCAUCGAUCCGCUCCGCUCUAGCUCGCGUACGUUCUCGCCACGUCAUCGAUCCGCGCCCAAGCGCAUCGGGUCCGUCCGUCCCAAGCAUCAUCGAGCGGCUGGAACCACUCCACGCCAUCGAUCCGAGGCACCAUCCUCUCCGCCAACCGCAGCCCACCUCCCUCCUCCUCCCCCCGCUCCCUACAUAACCCCGCCGCCCCAUCCGUCUCUUCACAUCUCAGCAUCAGCAGCCCCCCUCACAUCCCACCCAACAAGCCCCACCUCCCCACGCGCUCCAGCCAGCAGCACCCAUGGCACCCAAGGCGGCGGAGAAGAAGCCGGUGGCCACGGCAGAGAAGACGACGGCGGGGAAGAAGCCCAAGGCGGAGAAGCGGGCGCCGGCGUCCAAGGAGGCCGGCGGCGAGGGGAAGACGAGGGGCCGGAAGAAGGGCAGCAAGGCCAAGAAGGGCGUGGAGACCUACAAGAUCUACAUCUUCAAGGUGCUCAAGCAGGUGCACCCCGACAUCGGCAUCUCCUCCAAGGCCAUGUCCAUCAUGAACUCCUUCAUCAACGACAUCUUCGAGAAGCUGGCCGGCGAGUCCGCCAAGCUCGCCCGCUACAACAAGAAGCCCACCAUCACGUCCCGGGAGAUCCAGACCUCAGUGCGCCUCGUCCUCCCCGGCGAGCUCGCCAAGCAUGCCGUCUCCGAGGGCACCAAGGCCGUCACCAAGUUCACCUCAUCCUAAGCUGGCCUCGUCGUCGUUUCAUGACGAGUUGAGGGCGGCAGGCGUCGUGUGUGUAGUUAGCAGUAGUACGAUGUUACAAUCUUUGUAAGAAUUGUUCUGCUUGCUUGUGGCCUUGAAGGAAUAGUGAUGUUGCUGUUUGAAUCAAUGUUCGUCUGUGCUUGCGUGUCUCUUCAGAGUUCAGACUAACUCUUCUUGAUGCCAUUUGUUUAUGUCAGCAAGUUUCUACUGUGAUGGUUUAUCUAGUAAUUUUAAUUUGCUGUCAUUUUAUCUAUUGUGAUUGUUUCUAAGUUUCUAGAUAGAAACCUUUGAUUUUAAUUCUACAAUCUUUGAAGUUUGAAAUUAUGUACUACCAGUUAAAUCCAUGAUUUUCCUUCCUCUUUUGGCGCUAUGUAACUAACCUAUAUACUGUUGCUGCCAUUUGAGUAAAACUGAAGUUGGUGAGGCUUGUUAAUUUCUGACAGAACAUUCCAAGUUUUUUCCUCAGUGGACUUGUCAUCCAUAUGGCAAGAGGCCAAGAACAGCCUGACCGCCAGUGCUCAGAAAGUCACAAUGCAUUAGAUUCGGAUUAGCUUCUUGAGAUAAAUUAGAGGCUUUUUGCAAAAAAAGAAGCAAUAAAUUAGAGAAAGCGCACCCAUGUUUUUUAGAGUCAAGGGACAAGCUAGAUGUAACCAUCAUCUUUUUAGGAUGGCAUACCUGAGUUUUUUUUCUCUGUAUAUGUUUAUACUACAGUAGCUAAUUUUCCUUUGAUCUACUACUACACUUGGUAAUUUCUGAUCACGAAGCCACCAAUUUUGUCAAGGUGCAUUUUUUCUAUCGAUUCAUUUCUCUAUGUUUAUGUACAUUUGUAUGGAUAUAUGAAUUCUAAGUUAAGUGCAUUGGCAAGAACCAUUCACCACUCAUUUCCAGCCAUGGCGUUUCCACAAUUCGAUGGGGAAAACCCACGGUUGUGGAAAGGGAUGUGCGAGCAAUACUUUGCCAUGUACGGGGUUGACCAAUCCUUUUGGUAGCCCAUGGCUACGCUGAACUUCUCCACGACCACGGCCAUUUGGCUGCAGUCAGUUCAGCGCAAGGUCGCCGGCCUUAACUGGGAGGGGUUAUGCGAGUUUCUUUGCAGCAAGUUCGGGCGCGACCAACACCAACAACUGAUUAGGCGAUUUUACCACACUAGGCAAACUGGCUCCGUGGCGGAGUAUAUCAAGCAAUUUGAUGCUUUAAUGAACCAUCUGCUAUCUUACUCUGAAGCUAUUCACCCCCUGUAUUUUUUGACGAGGUUUGUGGAGGGUCUGCGUGAUGACAUUCAGGCGGUCGUGCUGAUCCAGCGACCCGUCGACCAGGAGGCGGUCGGCUCCCUGGCCCUUCUACAAGAGGAGCUUGCGGAGGGCUUCCGGCGGGAUCGCCCGCGCCGCUCUGACGCACCGACAACAAGGGCCGCCAUCCGAACGGCCCCUCUGCCGCUGCCGGCCGCUCCUCCUCGGGGUGGUGGGGUAGCUGGUGCGGAGGACCGGCACGCUCUGGAGGCAGCGCGGCCCGCACAAGACGCAGACAAGGUUGCUGCCCUAUGCGCCUACUGGUGCGCUAAGGGACUCUGUUUCACCUGUGGCGAACGCUGGGGGCGUGACCACCACUGCCCAGCCAAUGUUCCCCUCCAUGUCAUUGAGGAAUUACUUCAGAUGCUGGAAACAGAAGACGGGUGCACCCUGCCAACCGAGGAACAACAAGAAGAUGCCAACUGCGCAGCCAUUUCGUGCCAUGCUUUGGAGGGCACGGCAUCCCCAAAGGCUCUGCAACUCCAAGGGUGGCUAGGCGACACCAAGGUGCUCCUGCUCGUUGACUCGGGCAGCUCGUCUUCCUUCAUCAGGCACGACUUGGUCAGAGGAGAACUCCGGGCGGUCCCUCUAGCGCGCCGUCUCAGGGUGCGCGUAGCCGAUGGGGGAGAGCUAGCUUGUACUCAGGAAGUACCGGACUGCCAAUGGUGGAGCCAUGGACAGGAAUUUCGCUGCAAUCUGAAGGUGCUUCCAUUGCACAGCUAUGAUAUUAUCCUCGGGAUGGAUUGGUUAGAAAGUCACAGCCCAAUGCAAGUUGACUGGGAGAAGAAGUACAUCGAGUUCCAAUACCAUGGGGGCACGAUCCGACUGCAAGGCUUGCCUAGCAGCGACACCACAUGCUCCACAGUGUCGGCUAUGCAACUCCAGGCGCUGUGCAAAGAGAAUGCCAGUUUGCUCGUCCUCCAGCUAUGCCAAGUGGUUCCACAACAGCCUUCACCUAUGCUGCCCCAAGUUGCCGAGUUGCUCAGCCGCUACAAAGAAGUCUUUGAUGAACCAACAGGGUUACCCCCAAAACGGGCUUGCGACCACCGCAUACCCCUGCUGCCAGGUGCUCAAUCGUUUGCCAUCCGUCCAUACCGCUACUCUCCAGCCCUCAAGACAGAAAUCGAGCGCCAAGUGGCUGACCUUCUGAAGAAAGGGAUCAUACAAGUCAGUUAGAGCCCUUUCUCCUCUCCUGUGGUCCUGGUGCGCAAGAAGGACUUGACUUGGCGACUGUGUGUCGAUUACAGGCGCCUCAACGCUCUGACUUGCAAGACUACUUUUCCUAUCCCAGCGAUUGACGAACUUCUGGAUGAGCUCGCAGGCGCGCGCUGGUUCUCUAAAUUAGAUCUCCGCUCGGGGUACCACCAGAUCCGGUUGGCUGAAGGCGAAGCACCAAAGACAGCAUUCCAAACACACAGCAGCCACUACGAGUACAAGGUGGUAUCCUUCGGACUCGCCUACGCACCGGCCACCUUCCAGGGAGCAAUGAACGUCACCCUGUCUCCUGUAUCCCGCAAGUGCGUGCUUGUCUUCUUCGACGACAUUUUGGUGUUCAGUAUUACCUUGGAGGAUCACUUGAGAGACUUGGAAGAGGUGCUCGGGCUGUUGAAGAAGGACCAGUGGCAGGUGAAUGAAUCCAAGUGCUUAUUCGCGCAACAGCAACUAUCUUACCUGGGCCACCGCAUCAGCGCAGAAGGGGUCGCAACCGAGGAGAGCAAAAUCGCUAAAUUCCGCGACUGGCCAGUGCCCGAAUCAGUGAAGGAACUCAGGGGCUUCCUGGGUCUAGCAGGUUACUAUAGGAAGUUUGUCUGUCACUUCGGGAUGAUCUGCAAACCCCUGACUCAGCUGCUGCGCAAGGGGGCACUCUUUGUUUGGACUGAUGAGAGCCAAAAGGCAUUUACAGCUCUCAAGGAAGCCCUCAUUUCGGCUCCGGUACUGGCCCUGCCCAACUUCACCAAAACAUUCGUGGUCGAAACUGACGCGUGUGAUAGAGGCAUUGGGGCGGUGCUGCAGCAGGACAACCACCCCAUCGCUUUCCUCAGCAAAGCCCUCGGGCCAAAGGCGGCAGGCCUCUCCACCUACGAGAAGGAAUGUAUGGCAAUUCUGCAUGCGGUUGACCAAUGGCGCCACUACUUGCAAAUGGCUGAAUUUGUGAUCAAAAUAGACCAAAAAAGUUUGGUGCACCUGGAAGAGCAACGCUUGUCGACGGUCUGGCAACACAAGGCAUUCACCAAAUUGCUAGGCCUGCAAUACAGAAUCUGCUACAAAAAAGGAGAGGAUAACAAGGCAGCCGAUGUCCUGUCUCGUCGCCACCACGACCCGCAGGAGGCCGCACUUGCCAUCACUGAAUGCAAGCCUGCUUGGUUGACAGAGGUGCAACAAGGGUACGUCGAGGACGCCCGAUGCCAGAAACUUCUCGCUAGCCUAGCCACGACACCGCAACAAGGAGCUUUCAGCUUGCAACGGGGUUUACUACGCUACAAGGGCAGACUGUGGCUAGGGCAAAACCGUGCGCUGCAAGCCAAGGUUACUUCAGCCUUGCAUGAUGCAGCAGCAGGGGGGCACUCGGGCUUCCCGGUCACCUUGGCGCGCGUCAAGCAGCACUUCGCCUGGCCGGGGAUGCGCCGCACCAUCAGGGAGUUCGUCAGCACCUGCUCCACGUGCCAGCAAGCUAAACCUGACAGGUCUCGCUACCCAGGGCUCCUGCAACCCCUACCAAUACCAAAUCAGCCGUGGGAGAUGGCAACUAUGGAUUUCAUCGACGGUCUGCCCCCGUCUGGCCGGCACAACUGCAUCAUGGUGGUCGUGGACAAACUAACCAAGUAUGCCCAUUUUGUGCCGCUCGUGCACCCUUUCACCGCCCAGACAGUAGCCCAGCAGUUCAUGGAUCACAUCUACAAGCACCACGGUAUGCCCAGGUACAUUGUCUCUGACCGUGACCCGCUCUUUACCAGUCGCUUCUGGCAGCACCUUUUCAAACUCACCGGUACGGAGCUCCUCAUGAGCACGGCGCGCCACCCUCAAACUGACAGGCAAACGGAACGUGUCAACCAGUGCCUGGAAACAUUCUUGCGCUGCUACUCGCAGGCAUCCCUUCAGCAGUGGUCCAAGUGGUUGUCACUCGCAGAGUUCUGGUAUAACACGAGCACGCACUCAAGCCUGGGCAAGUCGCUGUUCGCGGUGCUCUAUGGGAGAGAGCCUCGCGCCCUGGGGUUAGCCACCGCAGAUGACUGCCAACCACUCGACGUCCGAGCAUGGCUCGAGGAGCGGCAACUGAUGCUGGCUUUGGCGAAGCAGCACUUGCACAGAGCACAACAGCGGAUGAAAGAACAAGCAGACAAGAAGCGUUCCGACCGCUCCUUCCAACCAGGAGACCAAGUGUACCUGAAAGGCUGAAACUGCAACCUUAUGUGCAAACCUCCGUCGCUCGGCGGGCGUGCCACAAGCUGUCGUUCAAAUUCUUUGGCCCCUUCCAGAUUCUGGCCAAGAUUGGAUCCGUGGCUUACCGCCUGCAGCUCCCAAAAGGAUCAGCAGUCCAUCCAGUCUUCCAUGUGUCGCAACUCAAGGCGGCUCACCUCCGUCCUGAAGGUUCGGUCAGCGCUCUGCCGACUAAUGUGUCUGCGUUUCAGGUACCGCUCGAAGUGAUCGACUACAGGUGGCGCAAGGCCCCCAACAAGAUGGUUCGUCAGGGCAAGAUUUGCUGGUCUGGCACACCCGUGGAGGACACCACUUGGGAAGACCUGGAAGAUCUCCACCGCCGUUUCCCGCGCGCUCCAGCUUGGGUCCCGCUGCGCAUCCUCAGCCUCCGCGACAAGAAAACCGGGCGCUCGACCGUGCGCCAGGGGACAAGCCCUUUUUCAAGACAAGGGGAAUGUCAGCGACGCCCAGGAGACGGCCCCUGACAAGAUCACCUCAAGCGACACCGAGCCACCACAGGAGGUCGAGCCCAACAGGCCCAGGCGCGAGCGGAAGCCCAACAGCAAAUUCAUCGGGCCCGCGUGGGCAAGUGGCCCACGGAAGUGAAGACUCACCUGCAUAUAAUCCCCUCCUCCCCCGCGAGCUAGGGUAUCCAGAGGAUCAAGAACUUGGCGGCGGCGGCGGCUCUCUACUACCUUCCUCCUCCUUUCCUUAGAUCUGGCUCGAUGAGCAUGUAAUCAAACCGAAUUCCUGUGAUUUGAGAGUGAGGACACUAGUAGUUCCUAUCAAUUUGGCUGUUUUAAUUGGGUCCUGUUUGAAUCGUUUUCAUUUCCAAUUUUCUUGAUCUUUAGCAAAUGAUCCCUUCCCCUCCUAAUGCAAAAGCAGAGCUCCUGCUGUCAAAGUCAAAAUAGAUGCAAAGGCCACAAAUGCAGAUGAACGCAUUUUUCAACCAAAAAAUAGAAGUCGGAAUGAGAGAAAUGAUUAGAGGGGACUGAAGCUCGACAAACAGAAAAGGUGGAGCGGGAAAAAAUGAUUUGAUUGUCUGAAGGAACAACUUGUAGCGCUAAAGAUGCAGUUGAGGUACAAGAGAAACAAUACAAUUGGAGGUAUACCCUUAGCUAAAUCCAGUAGUACAAAACAACCAAGGCUCCAUGGACAUGAGGCGAAAACAAUCUGGUACAACAACAUAUGCCUAGUUUUUUUUUUCCGAUAAAGGGUGUUUUUUUAUUCAUAAUGUAGCAUGGAGGGAUACAAUGAUAAUUUAUACACACCUGGUCUCUACAUAAUUAGGAUGCACAUAACCAACAAAAAGACGCACUAACCGACCACACCGGCAAAAAGCAAGGUCAAAUAACACCAGAGCCAUGCCUAUUCGGAGGAAAAAACCCCAAGCAAUAAAAAUAACAAUUGACAAUAUAUAGCAGUGACCAUCGGCACCAACCAUUCAUCGGCAACACAAGGACUAUGAACAACAUAUGCCUAGGUACAAACCGUGACGUGGGUUUUCCAUUAGUAAGAAAGAGUGAAAACUGGUAAACUAAAAUGAACUUCAUAGCGGCCUUGGCCAUGGAUAUUUCUUACGUUGGAGCUGGUAAAUCUGGCAGGCGAUGACUAUACAGAACUUUUUGACAAAGCUUGCCACCAAAGGGAACUAGGGGUCUACGGGCAUCUCCAUGGGAAUCGUUGGUACAAGUACAAAUACAGUUUGGUGUUCCUGGUCACUUUUUCAGCAAGAUCUUGCAAGAGAGUCCGCCAUUUGGACCCUUCUGGUUCAGGAUCAUGAGACCCGAACUACAAACAUAAUCUCUGUUCUCGACAAUAGAACGAUAACCCAUCACCAAUUUACUGACUUGGCAAAUUGGCAGUCCAUCCAAAACGGCAGCCUGAAACAUGUCUUUGAGCAUCAUUUGCUUAGCUUGGUAGAUUCUGCAAGGCGUCCAAGCUUCUGCCUAUUCUUUCUUCUAUCCAGGCAAGUCUCCUCUCAAGUUUUAGCACACUGGCAUGAAUAACCCUAAUAUCAACCUCCGCAAGCUUGGAAAAUGAGUGUACCAACAUGUAAUAAUCAGCGUGUCCAACACAAACAAGAUUACCGGUUACUGUUUUCUUUCUAUAGUGAAGAUAGUCAUCUGAUCUCGGACACUUCCUUCGCGGCAUAUAACAAAAUCCAUGGUCUUCCAUUUCUGAUUUGAUACUUAGCAUCCCUGAUGAUAAUGAAGAAAAGCACCGUCCACAAAAGUUCCAUCCCGACCUCGUUUAUUACUCGAGUUGUGGUUCGCAUUUCCUCCAUGUGUGCUUUUGGAUUCUCAUCCUGCAGUGCAACAGAUUUAGCCAUCAAGUCAAUAACAACACCCCCAAAAGAGAUGUAGCAAAUCCUCAAGGUACUACAUUGUACAAAUUUUAAGCUCAGAUAUGCUGCGAAUAAAUAGAGAUUUUUUAGAUUAACAAUUGUUUUUUCAUUUAUCUUUUAAUUUUAUAAUUUGGUUGUUUCUCAAAAAGAAAACCAGUUGUGUUUGGUUUCUAUAAUCAUUUAUGUUCUUUCAUGCUGAUUUUGUUCCUGAAAUAACAUUCAUAGAUAGAAGGUUGUUAAUGGUUUGUACCCAGGGUUCAGAAAUGGUACAUCCGUAGAGAUUAGAAGUUCAAAAUAAAUACAGUAUGUGGUUAGAGUGAAAUAGAAAACCCUUUCUGAAUGGCAACUUUAUUGUUCUUAAUCUUUUAAAUUUACAAUAUGGCAGCUCCUAAAAUAAAAUAAAAUAUCAUUCAAACCAAUUGUGUUUGAUUUCUAAGAUCUUUUGUGUGUUUUUGUUCUGAUUUUGUUCCUGAAACAGCAUCCAUACAUAGAACCUUGUUAAUGGUUUGCACUAAAGGUCCAGAUCGAAAGGCACUAGGCACUAGGCGGGCGUUUUGUGAGAAUUCAUGAUGAAUAUUAUUAAAUACAGGAUGAAUAAUCCCAAUAAAGUAGUACACGAAAAACAUUUUUAGUACUCCCUCCGUCCGGAAAAGUUUGUCCCAAUCUUGUUUCUCAAAUGGAUGUAUCUAGCACUAACUUGGUACUAGAUACAUCCAUCUGAGGGACAAGCUUUUUUGGACGGAGGGAGUACAUAGUCUUUUUUCAAAACACGUGGAUUAUUGUUAGUGAAAUAUAAGUAUUUUUUACACACUAUAAACAUUUUUAAAUGAAAUCUUGUCAUUUUCAAUAAAAUGUAAAACAUUCUUGAUAUACAUCAAAUAUUUUUUGAACCAAUAAACGUUUCCAUUAAAUGAUUCUUUAAUACACAAAGAACAUCUUUUAAAUAAUUGGCUAAUAUUUUUAAUACAUAAUAAACAAAUUAAUACAUGUUUAAUGUUUUUAUAAUACGCAUACACAUUUUUAAUACUCCCUCCAUUCGAAAAUGUAGUGCGUACAUAUUUUUUGAAAAGUCAAACUUUACAAACGUUGACCAAAUUUAUAGAGAAAAAUAUUAAUAUCUAGAAUACCAAAUAUAUUAAAUACUCCCACUGUCCAAAAACAACUACCGCUCAAACGAAUGUAUCUAACACUAAAAUACAUCUUGAUACAUCCGUUUGAGUGACAAUUAUAAGACGGAGGUAGUAUGAGACUAUAUCUUAUGAUGAGUAUAAUGAUAUAUAGUUUUGGCAAUCUAGAUGUAAAUGUUUUUCUUUAAAAAUAUAGGUCUAAAUUGGUGAGGUUUGACUUCUCAAAAAAUUUAUAUGCAGUACAUUAUGGAACGGAGGGGGUACAUGACAAAACAUAUCUCGAAACACGGGGACCAUUUUGUAGAAAGUGAUUUCGUAAAUGGUAUGAGAAAAGGAAAAAGAAAUAAACAGAAAAAACAGGAGAAAGGAAACCCCAAAAGGGAAACAAUAAAUGUAUAAAAAUAAAAACUAAUAGAAAAGUAAAUAUGAAAGAAAAAUUAAGGUGAAAGAAACUGGAAAACAAGAAAAAAAGUGGGAAACCAGAGUUAAACAGAAAAAUAUGGACAUAAACCACCUGUCCCAUAGAAAACAAGAGGCAAAACCAGGGAGGCAAACCACCAUACCUUGCCCGAGCCACGGCCCAUGUCGAGAUUGCUAGAGGCGAGUACAUGGUAUAUCUAGCAAUAAGCGAGAUAUUCUUCGCAAAAACAAACAACCAAAUGGGAACCGCUGCCAAUACAUAACAGAGCGGCUCCAGGCCACUUUAUGCAUUAAAGCCACGAUGAGCUUGGCGUACUUUCACUAUGAUGCUGCCUUCGUUGCAUCUGAAUUCUAAAUGCCAUCUUGUUUCCCGAUUGAUGAAGUCCACUCUCCGAACCAACUCCCAUCGUUGUCCUUUAAGAGAAUCUCAAAUGGACCCCGAAGACAGGGAGGGGGGAGGGGGUACUGAACGGUUUUUACUAGGCAUGAUCCCCACAAUAAUGCAACCUCAACCCUUCUUAAUAGCGUGACUUUCCUUAGAUUUAAAUAAACCAGAAAAUACUUCGAGUCCUUCGACAAACCGACACAUUUCCGGGGAGGGUGAGGGGUGAACCAUCUCCUUCCUUUUCAUCAAGGAACCAAUGUCGUCAAAUAAAUUUGAUAAAGGUCGUUAGUCCUACUAAACAUAUUAUCAUCACAACAAAAUACAAUUGGCGUCUAUAUGCACUCUCAAAAUUGUUUACUUUCCUUUUUUUAGUUAAAUGCACACAACUAAUUAAGAAAUAUAUUAAGAUAAAUACAUGUACGCAUUGAUGGGUUUUGUGUACUAAUAAUAACUACUUGAUUGGUUUUGUGUCAACGAACUCAUAGUUUUUUCAGUGAACAAAUAUAAAUCGCUUUGGCGGCUCAGCGUUCUUAUGGGCCGACCCAGGUGAGCGCCAUUGCAUAGUAGCGUCUGGUUGUGCCUGGGUGAGCUAUAUCUCUUAGUGCGAGACAAAUCGGUGUGUGUUCGGUGAGUGGGCCGACUAAGUGGAUUUCAGAACCCUCCAUGGGAGGCCUGGAUUAGUUUUAGGAACCUUCUGGUUGGUUUUCUGUCAAUUUUUUCUCCUUUUUGUAUGUUUUUUCUCUACUGGUUUUCAUCGGUUUUCUUUCUUUUUAUAUAUUUUUGUUUUCUUUGUUUUUCCCUUUUCCAAAUAUAUGCCAACUUUUGGUUAAUGUACAUUGAACAAUUUCGCUACAUAGGUUGAACAUUCUUCACAUACUCCUUGAUUUUUCUAAAUCUGCGUUAAAUAUUUUUUCUGUUUCACUUUUUCUGUUUUUCUCCUUUUUGUUUUUAGGUAUUUAUUUUUUAUUUUCAAAUAAAAAACUAAAUACUUGAUUUUUUAUCAAAGGUGUCUUGCAUUUUUUCCUCAAUAUAAACAAGGUUAUAUAUCAUAUCAACAAUUAUAUUUAGAUGGUAUGCAUACACCAAAGAAUUAAUCCAAAGAAGAAAAUCUCGAGAUAGAAUGAAACUUCUAAACUAUUCUCUAUCUUUUCUUUUCUUGAACGGGGAUCUAUAAACUACUAUCUGUUCUUCAAAACGAACAAAAAUUUCAAGGGGAAAAACAAAGGAAGAAAAUGAAACGUGAGAAGCAGAGAAAUGGUAAUACGAUGGGGGGCUUGGACUGGGUUGGCCUGCUACGUGUCGGGUGCAGCUGCAAGUCCAAUACACAUAGACUGAAGGCCCAAUGCCCACAAAAAAUCAUACUAAAUCGAGACGAUGGGGGUAAGAGGGGAGCUAUGCCUCUUAAGAUACAGUCAUAUGUAGAAGGCAUGUCUAAGGUUCAGUUUGCAAUUAGUGAAUUAUAAUGUCAUUUGCUUAUUUUAUAAUUAGGUAUGAAAAAUUAGACACAAAAGUAGGCAAAAACAGGUCAAAUAAACACGAAAAUAUGGACAAAAAAGGGUGGGGCAAACAAGAAUAUGAGAAUACACCAUGAUUCAAGCGCAUCAUAAAGUACCAAGUUAUAUAUUUCCGACAGUACUAGUAGAAGAAAAUUCACAAAAUAUUGAAGAAAUCUAAUUAGCAACAAAUGUCCUCUAGUUUGCUUUUUUCUUAAAGAAUAAGAUGAGAGGUUAGAAGUUCAAGUGCAUUGGGAUGCUUAGUUGUGUACUGACAAUAACAAUUUUGAUUUUUAGAGCAGAGUUACAGUUGGCGCAAAAUGUAAAAGAGAAAGGAGCAAGAGGGGUACUUAGGGCAUCUCCAGCCGCGCCCCCAGGAAGGCCUCCCCAGGUGUUUUUCUUGCGCCGAAGCCGAAAAAUCGGCCCAGUCGCGUCCCCAGGAGCCCGAUUUUCACCGGCCUGGGCCGAAAACAGCGCCGGCGGACCUAGGCCAAACCCGGUGCGCUGAGGGGCGCCCGAGGGCGCCGGGCGAACUUUUUUGGCGCGAAAAAGCCGCGGGCCCGCCGCGUCAGCGACACGGCUCUCUUCUCGCCCCUUCGUCGGCCUCAUCGCCUCGUUUCCCACGGAGAAUCAAUGCCAAAGCUACCGCGCUGCCGCGCCGGUCAGCCUGCACCAUUGAUGCCUCACGGGCGGCGCAGUGAAGGCCGGACGACGCGCGUCCCUCGCCCUCCCUCGCCCGCCACGCGUAACACGGCGGCCACGCGUACGGGCGGCGUCUCGGCCUAUAUAAGACGCGCAACAGCGUGCUCGGCGACCACACUCUCUCGCCGUCGUCGUUCCUCCCUUUCUUCUCUUUCGCCGUCGUUUCUCCCUCUCCUCUCUCUCGCCGUCUCCACUCAUGGCCGAGCGCUUCCCUGGUGACGGCGCGGCGGCGAACGGCUUCGGCCGCCGCCAUCUCCAUGAAGACGAGGCUCGCCUCCUUUACGAGGCCGGGUACCCGGUCCCGCCAGACAUGCGGGUGCCCGGCGUGUGGAGGAUCAGCGCCGGCGGCGCGCCGGUGCCACCACCACCCACCGGGGCGGCGCGGCGUGCGGAGAUCGCACGCAUCCGCGCGUCCCUACCGCGGCCGGCGAGGGAGGGGCCACGGUACGUCCCCGAUAGCCCGCUCUGGGAGUCCUACUUCCGCCGCCGUCACGCCGAGCAGCUCGAGGCCACCAACGGCGUCGAGCCCUCCGGCAGGCUCAACUCCAACGGCCGGCGCCGAUGGUGGGGCGUGCCCGGGCGCACGUUGGAGGCCGUCCUCGAGUACAUCAAGGGCGGCAACACGCCGUCCCUCGAGUACCCCGAUCCCCCGUCCUUCUCACGCCGCCGGGGAAGUUCCUGGACCUCGAGGCGCAUGGAGACCGGGGGGUCCUCCUCGUCGUCCGGUGGCUCGCCCUGCCUCCGCCCCGUCAAGCCAGAGCCCCAGGACACGCCGGUCAGUGCCCGCAUGCGCAGCUCCGGCAUCCGCAUCGGCGGCGCCAACGCCUCCCCACCCACCGGCCGCUUCGUCCUCGUCAAGCCCAAGCCGGAGCGCGGCCUCCCCGUGGAGUACGAGGAGAUAGCCCGGCGCGGCAUCUCCGACGAGGACGCCCUGCGCUGGGCGCGGGACGACUACCUCCGCGACGAGAUGGUCCGGCAGCGCCGGGCCCUGGAGGAGAUCGCCGCCCGCAAGCGUGGGCACGAGGACGAGCACGGCGUCGUGGUCCUCGACAGCGACGACGACGACGACGACGCCCUCGGACCGUCCAACCCGCCGUGCCAACCGGGGGAGGGAUGCAGCAAGGGCGACGGAGGCGCAGGCGGCGACGACGACGACGACGGCGGCGGCGACUACACGCGGUUCUACCGCCUCCUCGGCAUGUAAACCGCGUGGGCGGGCAGCGAGGCGGGCGGCGAGGGGGACGGCGGGGGUAGCUCGCCGAAGUUUUUUUUUAUAAAAUAUGUUUAAGUUUGAACGAACUCGCCGAUGUUUGCUUAAAUUUCAGUCGUGUUUGUGUCGUAUUUGAAUUUUUUUUAAAAAACGUGGGGCGCCGCGACUGGGGGGCAUCACGCCUCCAGUGCGCGGUUUAGCGCCGACACGCCCUCGGGGGCGAUUUUUAGGCGUCCUGAGAGGCCGAACGGCUGAAGAUGCCCUUAUUACCUGUUAUUGUCUCCACAGUGGUGACUUGGUUUUCUGAAAAUGUUUUUUUAUUGAUACAGGAAGGGCAGCAUCGACUUGGUUAUUUAUCCAGCAAUACUUGCCAUCCCGUGACAAGCAUUCUUCUACAGGAGUAUCUUGAUUUCUCAGUCCAAAACUAAUGCUGGUACAAAACUAAUGUUGGUACUCAGGAGUAUCUUAUUUGCCUAAUUGCACAUUACUCAGAGCCGCCAGUUUUGCCUAAAUGAUUUCUCAGUACGUACCUGUUUCUCAGGUUCAUUAUCCCGAGUUUAGUUCGGUUGCCAUGGUUGUCAUUUGCCUUGGCAUGUUUGUCUGAAAGCAACUUACUAGUACUCCCUUCAUUUUAAAAUAUAAUGCGUCCAUACUUUUUGAGAUUCAACUUUGACCAUAAAUUUAACCAAUAAGAUCAACUGCGGCGGGAGAAAAAUUUAUAUAAUUGAAAACUUCCUUUGAAUACGAAAUCACUGAUAUAAUAUUUGCUCCCGCCGCAAUCGGUCUUAGUAGUUAAAUUUACGGUCAAAGUUGAAGCACGAGGAUAGAGGAAGCACUACAUUAUGGAAUGGAGGGAGUAUCUCAUUUAGUAGUACUCCCUCUGUAAACUAAUACUCCCUCCAUUCCUAAAUAUAAGUCUUUGAAGAGAUUUCACUAUGGACUACAUACGGAGCAAUAUGAAUGAAUCAUACUCUAAAACGCUUUUAUAUACAUCUAUACGUGGUCCAUAGUGAACUCUCUACAAAGACUUAUAUUUAGAAACGAAAAGAGUAUAAGAGAAACACUCUUAUAUUACUUUACAGAGCGAGUACUUCUGAAAGCAACUUAGUGCUCUUUUAUUUAGUACUGUGAUAAAAGAUACAAGGUGUUAAUAACCAAAAGCUGACAGUCUCUGAAGCAAAGGCAGGUAACCAAACAUGCACAAAAUGGAUCGCAAGCAAAGGCAGAUAAACAAGAGAACAUGAUUGAAAGGAUUGCAUCUUUAGCCAUUCCGGACAUAAAUUAGAGAUAAAAUACAGCCCUCAGUGGCCCGUUCAUCAAACCAAUGAAAAAGUCACUACAGACUAGGCAAUUACAUACAUGAUCCAAUCAACCGAACCUCAUCUUUCUCUCCCUGCUAUGGAUCUAAGCAAUGUCAUGAUAGUAGUCUAUGGUGGCUGCUACUCCUUGGCAGCGACCUUCUUCUUGGGGGACUUGGUGGUGGUCUUCUUCUUGGGCGACUUGGCCUCCUUCUCUGCGGUGGCGGGGGACUUCUUGGGGAGAAGCACGGAGUUGAUGUUGGGGAUCACGCCGCCGUGGGCGAUGGUCACGCCGGCGAGCAGCCUGCCGAGUUCCUGGUCGUUGCGGACGGCGAGCAGCAGGUGGCGCGGGAUGAUGCGGGUCUUCUUGUUGUCCUUGGCCGCGUUGCCGGCGAGCUCCAAGACCUGCGAUUCAUAAAGGAAAUCGGUCAGUUAUCAGUCGAGCACGACGAGAACAGAGUAACGAAGGCUCCAGGAGGGGAGAGAUCGGUGCAUACCUCGGCGGCGAGGUACUCGAGGACGGCGGCGAGGUAGACGGGGGCGCCGGAGCCGACGCGCUGCGCGUAGCGGCCCUUCUUGAGGUAGCGCCCGAUGCGGCCGACGGGGAACUGGAGCCCGGCCUUGACGGACCUGGUCACCGCCUUCUUCCUGUCGCCGCCCUUCCUUCCGGCCAUCUUGCUUGCUACUUCUCCGGCGAGCUGGAAACUACUCGAGAUGCGUGGGCGGCGGUGCGGGAUCGGAAUGCGCUCUGCUCUGCGUUUGUGGGUUGGGACGCCAGCGAGGACGCGGCUUUUAUUGGGGAGAUGAAGCUUCGUGGGGACGGCGGCAGGGGGGAGCGAUCCGCGUGACGCAGUGUGCCUGCCGUUGGAUCUGUGGGGAGUGGGCGGUGGGGAUUGGUUUGGGGGUGCGAUCCGCGAGAGGGUCUUAUCGGCCAAUCACAGCGCAGGGAUUUGCAUCACGAAGGGAUUUUGCUUUAAUUAACACCUGGUUUUCCUUUUGUGCAUCAUUUAGGCUUUUUUUUCCAUUUUAUCUUGCAUCUAAUUGGUUUUUCAGAUGUAGUGGUAUUUGCUUAUACAUGUAUGUAUGUUUUGCUAUUACCUAACGUUUCGGUUUGGAUGCAUGUACUAAGGCCCCAAAUUGGAUUUGGUAUUCCCCAAAUUGCAAUCUGGUUGUUUGGGAUGCACACGAAAUAGUUGUCCGAAAUGGAACGAAUACAUGCAUGAAAUCGCUCACACAUGCCCGAGCCCUCCCACAUUUUUGAGCUCUUCGGCUUCGAUUUGGCUGGGAAUCACCCAUCGUGCAAAGGGUAAUGAUUUUUCCCUUCUUUUCCCCAUCGACAACGGCACCCAUAACCUCCCCUCGCCGGCCAUCCUCCUCCUCCUCCGGGACCUGAAUCCCCGACGCCACAGCUCGUUCCCCUCCUCCCAUGCCCCCCGUCUCCUCCUCACGUGGCCUCCACGGCCUGGCCCUAGCCGUCUGUCGCCGCUUCUCCUCCAAUAUUAGAACUACGAAAGGUACAUGAUGUUGAUGAAAGUAAUUAUCCUCACAAUUUGUGCCCACGCAAAUUGGCAACGAUAGAACGGAUCCGACAAAAUAGAAAGAGGAAAAAGAGCUCCAAGAAUAACCUUAAGAAAAUUUCUUGGGUAGAGCGUAAGGAUGGGCCUUACUAUCCCAAGAAUCUCCAUCCUCUCCACUAAGGUAAAAUAAUUCAAUUUCACUAGCUUAUUCUAACAAAGUUGUGUUGGCUGCAGGUUUUUGUGAAGGGUACCGAUGAAGCUAUGUACCUAGGGUAGGGUCAUGGACCUGUCCUAACUGCCCUACCCAAGGACAUCCCUAGAAGAAAUCACCUUUCAAUCGCCUUGGAGGUGUUCCACUCGACAGACUCGAAGACACUCGACCACGAAGCAACCACUCGACCAAGACCCAACCACUCGAUGGCCAGGAGACCUAAAGUCACUCCGCACGCUAACGGUCGGUCAUUGAGUAGGUUUUAUGGUCAUCAUAGCACUUUAUUAGAGGCGUUACCAGUAACGCCCGACCUUAAUGUACUUAAAUCCCUGCAUAACUGAGGGCCGAAGGGGCCUGGCGAACUCUAUAUAAGCCACCCCCUUCCUCAGUGUAAAGGGUUCGCACCCCUGUAAUUCAUACACACAUAAUCCAGUCGACCGCCUCCGGGCUCCGAGACGCAGGGCUAUUACUUCCUCCGAGAAGGGCCUGAACUCGUAAACCUCGCGUGCUUACAACUACUCCAUAGCUAGGAUCUUGCCUCUCCAUUCCUACCCCCCCUACUUUACUGUCAGACUUAGAACCACGACAGUUGGCGCCCACCAUGGGGCAGGUGUCUUAGCGACUUGUUGGAGAAGUUGUGAUUUUUUCCGAUCCCUUUGAUCAUGGUUUCGGGCGGAGUUUUGGUGGAGGGCCGCGAGAUCCGUCUCGGCGCGCUCACGUUCAUCGCUGACGACUCCGCUUGGCUUCAGGAGGCUCCACUCGACGUCGACGCGCUCCCCGUCCGCGGGGCGACGCACUUCCGCGCGUGCGUCCGCGGCGUCCUCCUGCGGCAGCCGUCGACCCAGUAUCGGUCGGCUCCUAUGGCGUCCUCCCUCCCUGUCUCCCGCCGGCGCAAGCGCUCCGGUCGGUCAAGGCUUCAGCGGUGGGUGAGGCAUGCGGUGGCCCGCCAGUCGGCCACCCCUCAAGUCGCGGCGAUCGAGCCCGACGAAUCCCUCUACGGCCUGUUCGACUGGCUCCGCAGAGACUGCAUCCGAGUGCGAUAACAGUGAUCCAGCAGCGGAGGUUCUGAUGGUUGAUGGACCACGCAGUCCUCCUGGCUUUCCCCGCAUAGACGGAAGCGAAGGCAGAGGCGACCCGUCGCAUGCCCAUGAGGAGUAUCUACCAGAGCCUCUCACUUCGCUGCAAAGAGAAGAACUUCGCCGCCGAAACAUGGAUGCGCUGCACACUCCUAUCGUUGGAGAAACCCCCGAGGCCCGUGCCUUGGAGGACGCGCGCCUGGCCAACUUGGCUGAGUGCACUCGACUGGAGAACCUCCAGCGAGCACUCGACGAGCGUGCACGACAACGGGUCCCAGAAUCCAUUCGCCGUCAGCUCUUUCCGCCCCCGUAGGUAUAUCGAACUCCGAUUCAGAAUUUAGCAGUAGCAGCCCAUAUAGCAGAGUCGAUUCAGCCUUCCCAGUCAGAGGCUGGCAGAGGCUUGCUGCAGAUCAGAGUGUUACUCCGGGCAGCAGGAGACCAGAAUUCCGUUGUUUCACAGUCGCGGAACAGGAUCCACAGCAAAUCCGUUGUUGCAGAUACAGUCCAGUCGGCUCACAACCCAAGAUCGCCCCCGAGGCAUGAGGGACGUGGAGACCGGCGUGAUCAGUACAGGAACCGUGAGCAGUAUGAUCACCUAUUCGAUCGUGACGAUCGACGUCGAGUGCCCACCCUCCCCCGAGGAGUGGGUCGUAUGUGCCUCGACAGCAAGAUGACAGGCGCCCUCACAGUGUUGGGCGAAGAAUUCCAGUCGAUCCCAGGGAACCAGGCUUUGAUGCGAGAUCCAUUCUCGUUCAAGGUUUGGUCGACAGGAAUAGAGCUCACCGAGAAGGUCAUGACAGAGAUGCACCUACCAGCAGCAGAGUGCAUGUUUCAGGGCCAGAGUGCUUUAGCAGAGCCAUCAGGGCCGCAGUGAUUUCUCCCAACUUCAGGUUGGCGACUGGAGUUAGUAAGUUCGCCGGAGAGUCCAAGCCUGAUACUUGGCUUGAAGACUACCGAGUGGCUGUUCAGAUUAGCGGCGGCAAUGAUGAAGUGGCCAUGAAGCACUUACCUCUCAUGUUGAAAGGCUCGGCCAGAGCGUGGCUGAAUCAGUUAGCACCCAGCAGCAUUUACACUUGGGAAGAUCUUGCCCGAGUGUUUUUCACAACAUUUGAAGGAACGUGCAAGCGACCAGCAGGGCUAACAGAAUUGCGGUCUUGCGUGCAGAAGUCAAAUGAAACUUUGAGGGAUUACAUCCAGAGAUGGAUCAUGUUGCAUCACACGGUAGAGAAUGUGUCUGAUCACCAAGCAGUCUGUGCCUUCAAGGAAGGCGUCAAGUACAGAGAACUGAAUCUGAAAUUUGGUCGAACCAGAGACAUGUCUUUGACUCGGAUGAUGGAGAUUGCCACCAAGUAUGCUAAUGGUGAAGAUGAGGAUCGACUCCGGAGUGGUAAGCUCAAGUUAGUCGCCCAAGAAACCGGAGGAGGAAAUUCCAGUCGGAAACAGUAGCGGAAAGCCAAGCCAGCUGCUCCUGGGGAAGCCUUGGUUGUAACUCAAAAAAAGUUUAAGGGGAAACCCAAAGGGCCUUGGAACCCCAAGAAAGUUAAAGACCAAGAUGGAAAUGAUGUGUUGGAUUUGUCAUGUCACAUCCACACAAAGAAAGAUGAAGAGGGUAAACUCAUUUACCCGAAACAUACCACUCGACAGUGUCGGCUCUUGAUCCAGCAAUUCCAGGGCAAACAUCCCAAAGAUAAGGAAAAGGAGUCGGACAAAGUUGAGGACAAGGAGGAUAGUGAUGAUGGAUACCCCUAGGUCAAUUCCACCCUGAUGAUUUUUGCUGAUGUUGAAAGCAAAAGUCGACUGAAAGUUAUCAACCGUGAGGUGAAUAUGGUUGCUCCGGCGACACCCAGUUAUUUGAAGUGGUCUCAGACUGCCAUCACAUUCGACCAGUCCGAUCACCCAACGCACAUUGCCACCCCUGGGAGGCAAGCUUUGGUGGUCGACCCAGUUGUCGAAGGCACUCGACUGAUGAAAGUCUUUAUGGAUGGUGGCAGUGGUUUGAACAUACUGUAUGCAGAGACGUUGAAAGGGAUGGGCAUUCCGAUGUCCAGACUCAGUACUAGCAACAUGAGUUUCCAUGGAGUCAUUCCUGGGAAGAAGGCUGAGUCACUCGGCCAAAUUGCUCUUGAUGUGUUUUCCGGUGAUUCCAAGAAUUACCGCAAAGAAAAGUUGACGUUCGAAGUUGUAGAUUUCCAGAGUGCUUACCACGCUAUUUUGGGCAGGCCAGCUUAUGCAUGUUUCAUGGCUCGACCAUGUUAUGUGUACCUCAAAUUAAAGAUGCUUGGUCCCAAAGGUGUGAUCACUGUUACGGGCAAUCGGAAGAAGGCAGAAGAGUGUUUUCAGAAAGGCUCAAAGAUCGUUGAUGCUCAGAUGGCAGUGGUAGAGCUGCAGGAGUACCAGAAGACUGCAGACCCGAGUGAUUUGUUGCGAGCUAAGAAGCCUGCUACGGAAUCAACGUUUCAGUCGGUGAGACAAAGCCGAUUCACAUUCACCCGACCGAUCCCAACGCUGCUCCGACCCAUAUCUCAACAACACUCGACUCCAAAUAGGAAGAAGCGCUCAUCCAGUUCCUCCGUGAGAACUGGGACAUCUUCACAUGGAAGCCUUCUGACAUGCCAGGUGUUCCCAGGGGGCUGGCUGAGCACCGCCUAUGAGUCGACCCAAAAAUUAAACCUGUCACAGAGCAUCUUCGACGGUCCGCCGUCCAGAAGAGAAAGGCCAUUGGCGAAGAGGUGGCUCGGCUCUUAGCAGCAGAGUUUAUCCGAUAGAUUUACCACUCCGAGUGGCUCGCCAAUGUUGUCAUGGUCCCCAAAAAGGACAAGUCACUUCGCAUGUGCAUUGACUUUAAACAUAUCAAUCGGGCCUGCCCGAAAGAUCAUUUUCCUCUCCCCCGCAUCGACCAGAUAGUCGACUUGACCGCGGGAUGUGAGCGCCUGUCUUUUUUAGACGCUUAUUCCGGGUACCAUCAGAUCCAUCUGUAUGGACCCGACGAGAUCAAAAUAGCUUUCAUCACUCCAUUCGAAUGCUUCUGUUAUGUUACCAUGCCAUUCGGCCUCAAGAAUGCCGGAGCCACGUUCAUGAGGAUGAUUCAGAAGUGUUUGCUCACUCAAAUCAGUUGGAAUGUGGAAGCAUACAUGGAUGAUAUUGUGGUCAAGUCACGGAAGAGUUCCGACCUGCUGACUGACCUUGCUGAAACCUUUGCCAACCUCGGGAGGUAUGAUAUCAAGCUUAAUCCAUCAAAGUGCACAUUCAGAGUUCCUGGCGGAAAGUUACUCGGUUUUCUCGUUUCCAAACGGGGAAUCAACGCCAAUCCAGAAAAAGUUGGUACUAUAUUCCGAAUGAAACGUCCUGUGCGUGUGCACGAUGUCCAGAAGCUUACUGGUUGCUUGGCCGCUUUAAGUCGAUUCAUCUCUCGUCUCGGUGGAAAGGCAUUGCCUCUUUACCAACUGAUGAAGAAGUCAGACAAGUUCGAGAGGACUCCUGAAGCUGAUGCAGCGUUUGCAGAGCUCAAAGCUCUGCUCUCCACCCAGCCGGUGCUUGCUACCCCAAUCAGCAAAGAGCCUUUGCUACUUUACAUUGCAGCCACGGGACAAGUCGUCAGUACAGUACUUACGGGCGAGCGGGAAGAAGAAGGAAAGGCCUUCAAAGUUCAGCGCCCAGUAUAUUAUGUUUCUGAAGUUUUGACCCCGUCAAAGCAAAGAUACCCUCAUUAUCAGAAGCUUGUAUAUGGGAUUUAUAUGACCACAAAGAAGGUUGCUCACUACUUCUCUGAUCAUUCCAUUACAGUCGUCAGCGAUGCUCCAUUGUCAGAGAUUCUGCACAACAGAGAUGCAACUGGUCGAGUGGCAAAAUGGGCGAUUGAACUCCUUCCCCUAGAUAUCAAGUUUGAGGCAAAGAAAGCUAUCAAGUCCCAAGCAAUAGCAUAUUUUGUCGCCGAGUGGAUUGAACAACAACUGCCGACUCAAGUUCACUCGGAGCAGUGGACCAUGUUCUUCGACGGUUCCAAGAUGCUGAAUGGUUCCGGUGCUGGGGUAGUAUUGGUUUCCCCCCGAGGAGAUAAGCUUAGAUAUGUUCUCCAAACCCGCCUUGCAAUGCCGAAGACAAUCUGCGCGCCAGGCUUCAAUGACGACGAGUCCGACGCGCAGAUUGUCUUCGGCAUUGCAAGGCGGGUUCCUCCUCCAAGUACUUCAUAGAAGAUUUUGAACACCAGGAUAGUGUCCGGCUCUGCAAAAUAAGUUUCCACAUACUGCCAUAGAGAGAAUAAUAUUUACACAAAUCUAAUCUGCUGACGUAUUCCGCAGCGUGACAUCACACCACGGCCAAGCCUUUAUUCGAAUCGUUUUUAUUGUCCCACCUCAGCGCGUUUAGCGAGGCAGUUUCCUUGGCACGUCCUGUUGACGCAGAGAUCGUGUUCCCUUUAUUUACGGGAUUCUCAUCAAUACGGAUGUGGGUGACCCAAUCGUGCCCGUUGGCAUGUUUUCUCGAUUAAAGGCGAGUCCCAAACGGUUACGGGGAGGGCCCUUGGUAUUCAACCUCUUAUAAAGAGACUAAGGCCUUACUCCUUUCUUUCAAUCUCAAACGAUUUCGCCCUUCGCCUCGAGUUCCAACACCCAAGGCUCCAGAUUUCGGGCGCUUCGAAUCUUCGACAAUGUCCGGUUCCGACCUUCGAGGCCGAUGGGUGCCCUCUUCCAUCACGGAGGAGGCCGUGCUAAAGCUGAGAGAGGCCAGGUUCUUGACCGGCGAAAUCUUGCAUAGGUUGCCUGCUCAAGGGUAGGUCAUUCCCACUCCCAAGCCUAGUGAGAGCGUGGUGUUCAUAUCUCACUUCCUUCGGGGGCUAGGCUGCCCGAUGGAUCCCUUCGUGAGGGGGCUCAUGUUUUAUUAUGGGCUGGAAUUUCACGACUUAGCUCCGGAGUCCAUCCUCCACAUUUCCUCUUUCAUCGUUGUGUGUGAAGCCUUCCUCCAUGUUACUCCUCACUUCGGACUAUGGCUCAAGACCUUCAAAGUAGUGCCGAAGACGAUCGAGGGGCGGCACGCAGAGUGCGGAUGCGCUGUUAUAAGCAAGAAUGCUGAUGCUCCAUGGCCUGAGGGCUCUUUUCAAGAGGAGUCCAGCUUAUGGCAACGAGAGUGGUUCUAUAUCACCGCUCCCAGGGGCACCAAGUGGGUGGCGCCUCCUGCCUUUCGCUCGGGUCCCCCACCACAACUAGCGUCAUGGGUCAAUAAAGGAUUAGACUGGGGGUCAUCCAAGGACGUGCCCUUGUUGCAGGGCCGCAUCAGGGAUCUCUUAGAAAGAGACCUCAGCCUGGUCAAGGUGACACAGGUCAUGCUGAUCCGCCGAACCCUGACCGGCAAACGUCGCUCCCUUCGCCUAUGGGAGUUUAAUCCGGAGGGACCGCGAGCUCUCCAGCAUUUCAUGGGCGCAACGCUCGUGGAGAUGUAUAAAUUGUUCUUCGGAUCACAAGCAACGUGUCCGGACUUGACCGAGGACGCAGGUCUGAGCUGCAAUCGCCCGGAUACUCAAGUAAGUAGCCUUGUGCCCGGACUCGCUUAUCCGUAUAUUUGUCAUAAAACUUGCCCCUAAAGAGCUGUUCUUUAAGCAGGAGUGGAUAGCGAAAGCAAAGCUUAUCAGGUGUCCGGCUCCCCUCCCCGAGACCACGCAGGAUCCCGUGCUGGUCAGAAUGUUGAAGAUUGUGCCUUUGGAGGAAAGCAAGGGAGGGGACUAGGAAACUACGGCCUCCUCGAAGGAGGCUGUUCGGAGGGAAGGAAUCGAAAAUUCCUCUCCUUAGGUGAAGAAGAGGACCGCCUCUGAAGACCCGGAGACCAUGGCCUCAAAAUGGGGGAAGAAACCCUCGUCAGAGGGUCCUGCGCCGGGGGAUACCCCGGCCGAAUUAUGCCCUCAAGGGGGUCAGCCAUCCAUCGAGCCGUAAGUAUAGAGAGGUUUUUCUUUGAGAAGAAUCCUUGUUUUAUAUCUGAGAAGAGUAACCGAAAAUUUACCUUGUAGUUCGGACCUCAGCCCUUCUUGGCAGAGCUCGUCUUCGGGGGAUCUUCUUUCGGAGAUGAUGGAAAGCGGAACGCCUCCCCCUGCCGUACCGCCUAGCGAGGCGGGCGACCCCGAGGUAUCAUCGCGGAGGGUUUCUCCAAAUCCAGCAGGGGCGGAAGGUAGCCAUAUGGCCCCCCAAGGCUCUCCGCGUCCGGCCUUCGAAACAGGCCAUAGGACGAGUCCGGCACCGUUCGGUGCGCGGUCGGAGGAGCUGAAGAAUCUGCUAGGGCGAGCAUCUAUCUCGGAGGAGCACCGUGCAUUGAUGGGCACGGUGAUUGAAAGGAUUUCAUCCGCGGAAAGCGGAUUGCACGAGGCCGUUAGAAGUUUACCGACGGGUUUUGAGGUAUGCGGAAUAACACACCCUUUUUGACAGUUGUGCAUAAAUAAUAUGCGCCCUGUGUAGAUAGUAGCCCCUGAGACUCUGUGCGUUGUCAAAAAGUGACGGCGCAUAGAGGAUCAUAAUCCCAGGUCUAAAAUGCCGCCUUUGUAUGUAGGUGGCGAAGUGUCCGGCAUCCAGCCGGACUGAUGAAUUUGCCGAGCUAAAGCAGCAACUUGACGUGGCAGAUGCCGACAUCGUGCUUGUUAACAAGCGGCUGGACGAGACACAAGGUAUGUAAUCCCUCCGGUGGCACCUGGUAAGAGGAGCUUUUUAUGCCAUUUUCUUACUAUGUGUAUGCUUGAUGCAGAUGGUGCGACUGCCAUGGAGAAUCUUCGGGCGGAACUUGCCCGAGCCAAGGAGCAAGCCAGAAAAAGUGAUGCGGCUACCGGAAAGUCAAUUGAAGAGCUGAAAGCCAAACAGGUUGCUCACUGCCGAAGCAAGAAGGAAAUGGCCGAGAUGGCCGUGAAGCUGAAGAGCGCUGCUGACCGUUGCAAGCUUCUUGAAAAAGAAGACCGAGCGGGACAGACGGACUUAGAGAAGGCCAUUGCCGAUGCCAAGGAUGCUCGCUCUGCGAUGAGAGCGGCGAAGAAGGAGCUGCGUCAGGCCGGAGAAAUCGCGGCUGGAAAGCCCUUUAUGCUGCGGAGGAAGUUUUGUGAUCCUAAGCAUGCUCUGCUAGAGCGGUUAUGGAGUACGGCGGACACCUAUCUGGAUUUGGCAGCGAGUGCUGCUGAUGCGACCGAGCACUUUCGAGAUCAAGAAGAUCGCGAAGUGGAAAAGCUCUUCUGGUCGCAGUUCCGCAAUCCAGAGCAUCCACUGUCGGUGGCCGAUCGUCUGGCCGAAUGGGCCGAACUGAAUAGGUUGUCCGGACUCGCCAUGAAGUGCGUCAUGAGUCAUCUGUGACUGGAGAGAUCGGAGCCGAAAAGUUAUUUCAGCUUGGUGCAGCAGUUCCUUGGUGCGGUGCCGCGUAUUAAUGCAGUGAAGAGGUCAGCAUGCAUAGAGGGUGCACGGAUGGCUCUUGCCCGUUUCAAGACAUACUGGGCGGAGAUGGAAACCACCGCUGUUGCAUCCCGAGAUUCGGACGGAAGCCGAGUACCUGCCGAGCACUAUUUUCCAGAAGUUCUGCAAGGCGCUCAUGUAAUAGAGACGCAGUGCUCUAAGGAUGCUAUAUUCGAAUAGCAUGUGUUAUUGUAAAACAAUAUUUUGAUAAAUUGUAGAAGCUUUUUAUACUUGUGCCCUCAAGUAUUGUAACACCUCCUGUGCGGCCGUUUAAGAUAUAUAUAUAUAUAUAUAUAUAUAUAUAUAUAUAUAUAUAUAUAUAAUCUGAAAGAUGACAGUCGUUGGCUUCAGCCCCCACGCAAAUAAUGCGGGGGUGUUCGCAGAAGGCGUAUUUUCACACUUGAUCCAACGUCUUGGUCCUACAAAGGAGGUGAUAGCACAUCGAACUAGGCAAUCGGACUAUAAUGCUUUAUCACUUUCACUUAGCCAUAGGAGCUUGACAGUGAGGCUACUUAGAUAGCCCCUGGUGGCGACCGCGCUCGCCCGAAUUCGGGGCGCGUAUGUGCCUGGUCGGGAAAUGGCCCUUCGUUAAUAUGGAGGAAUCCUAUAGAUUCCGGUAAGUCAUUGAGUGGUUGACCAGUCUCACGCUAUAUCAUGACAGUCAUUUUUCGGCUUUCUCUACUAAGGUGCUCGCCUGGACGAACCGGGGCACAAUCGCAGUAGUUCUCCUGGUGCCAUCUUAGCCGAUAGAGCGGAACGUAAGGCAGCAAAACACAGGAGCCGGGCAACCCAACAUUUGACCAAAGACAUGAUUCGGAGCUGAUGCAUAUAAGGCCAAACUCGCGACGCCGAACACUCCCUAAGGUAUUCGGUCUUUAUGAGGGCGGGCAAGACAACGCCUUUAGUUAUAAGCCCCUAGUGUCCAGGUACGCGCAAAAAUUCUGACGUGGCCACAUGCCAAGACGCCAGCCUCCUCCUUGGUUAUACAAAAGAAAAAACCAGGGGAUGUGUAUCAACAAGAGACAGUAAAAAAGGUUUACGCAGGGUCUUAAUCUGAAAAGAAUCCUUGGAACGGGUCCUUGCUGCACGUCUGCGCCUGUGUCUCCAUUGUGCCUUAUCCUAGACGGGCGCAACACGGUGUUCAUCUGUAAAAGAGAGGAACUUAGUUGAAAAAAGGAGCGUGCCGAACUGAAAUAAACAAAGUAUAAAUUGAAAUGGGUAAAAUUGAGCUUGAUUUUCUCUUAUUUUAUAUGCGCUGAGCCCCUAGUGCAGGGGUAUACGGCUAUUAAGCCUUUAUUAGUUAUAUGUUUAUACCGGACUCGUCUAGACGUGUCCGUGGUCUUAACGACCUGUUUAGAUGUUUUCGCUGGUGAAGCCGUUUUAUUGUGGGGCUAUUAAGGCAGCCGCACAAUGGGGGGGGGGGCGCACUCAAUGUUUUCCCUUUAAUGAGAUGAUGCCUUGUGGACCGGGCAUCUUGAGCGUAAGAGACGCAUAAUGCGGUAUUGCGUUAAAGCGGGCGAAAGCUUCGCGUCCCAGUAGUGCUUGAUAGCUACUUGAAAAAUGGGGCGAUAUGGAAGGUUAGCCUUUCACGACGGAAGUUGUCGGGGGUGCCGAACAUAACUUCUAGCCGGAGAGAGCCCGUGCAAUGGGCAACCGGGCCUGGCGUUACUCCUUGAAAGGAAGUGUUGCCAUGGCGGACUUUUGUUGGGUCUAUCCCCAUGCGGCGGAUUGUGUCCUGAUAUAACAGGUUUAGACUAUUGCCGCCGUCCAUCAGGACAUUUGUAAAGUGGAGUCCGCCAAUUAUUGGAUCUAAUACCAAGGCAGUCCAGCCUGCGUUCCUGAUACUUCUAGAGUAAUCUAGAUGAUCGAAGGUGAUUGGUUUUAACAACUAGUGGCGAGACUCCUUUGGGAUAGGCCGUACGGCGCGUACCUCUAUGGGCGCCGCUCGUUUUGUUAUGUGAAGUAAGUUUACUGUUUUUACUUCUUAUGGGAAAUUCUUUUGUUUCCUGGUGCUCUGCUUUUGGGGUUCGUCAUCGUCUUCGCUUGGUGUGUCGAGCCCCUUGUGUUCGGCGUUGAGUUUGCCGGAUUGCUUGAAAACCCAACAAUCUCUGUGGGUAUGGUUUGCAGGCUUCCCGGGAGUACUGUGUAUUUGACAUAUCUUGUCCAAGAUUUUGUUUAAAUUGGAUAGCUCGUCCCUGUUAUCCUUGAGGGGCUUAGCUGCAGUCCAGUACUCGCCUAAGUGUUUGAAAAUCCUACCGAGUGGUGAACCAGCCUCCCACUCGGGGGCUUAGUUGCAGUCCAGUACUCGCCUAAGUGUUUGAAAAUCCUACCGAGUGGUGAACCAGCCUCCCACUCGGGGGCUUAGCUGCAGUCCCAGUACUCGCCUAAGUUUAAAAAAUCCUACCGAGUGGUGACCCAGCCUCCCACUCGGGGGCUUAGCUGCAGUCCAGUACUCGCCUAAAUGUUUNNNNNNNNNNNNNNNNNNNNNNNNNNNNNNNNNNNNNNNNNNNNNNNNNNNNNNNNNNNNNNNNNNNNNNNNNNNNNNNNNNNNNNNNNNNNNNNNNNNNNNNNNNNNNNNNNNNNNNNNNNNNNNNNNNNNNNNNNNNNNNNNNNNNNNNNNNNNNNNNNNNNNNNNNNNNNNNNNNNNNNNNNNNNNNNNNNNNNNNNNNNNNNNNNNNNNNNNNNNNNNNNNNNNNNNNNNNNNNNNNNNNNNNNNNNNNNNNNNNNNNNNNNNNNNNNNNNNNNNNNNNNNNNNNNNNNNNNNNNNNNNNNNNNNNNNNNNNNNNNNNNNNNNNNNNNNNNNNNNNNNNNNNNNNNNNNNNNNNNNNNNNNNNNNNNNNNNNNNNNNNNNNNNNNNNNNNNNNNNNNNNNNNNNNNNNNNNNNNNNNNNNNNNNNNNNNNNNNNNNNNNNNNNNNNNNNNNNNNNNNNNNNNNNNNNNNNNNNNNNNNNNNNNNNNNNNNNNNNNNNNNNNNNNNNNNNNNNNNNNNNNNNNNNNNNNNNNNNNNNNNNNNNNNNNNNNNNNNNNNNNNNNNNNNNNNNNNNNNNNNNNNNNNNNNNNNNNNNNNNNNNNNNNNNNNNNNNNNNNNNNNNNNNNNNNNNNNNNNNNNNNNNNNNNNNNNNNNNNNNNNNNNNNNNNNNNNNNNNNNNNNNNNNNNNNNNNNNNNNNNNNNNNNNNNNNNNNNNNNNNNNNNNNNNNNNNNNNNNNNNNNNNNNNNNNNNNNNNNNNNNNNNNNNNNNNNNNNNNNNNNNNNNNNNNNNNNNNNNNNNNNNNNNNNNNNNNNNNNNNNNNNNNNNNNNNNNNNNNNNNAAAAAAUCCUACCGAGUGGUGAGCAAUCCUCCCACUCGGGGGCUUAGCUGCAGUCCCAGUACUCGCCUAAGUUUAAAAAAUCCUACCGAGUGGUGAGCAAUCCUUCGACUCGGAGGCUUAGCUGCAGUCCCAGUACUCGCCUAAGUUUAAAAAUCCUACCGAGUGGUGAGCAAUCCUCCCACUCGGGGGCUUAGCUGCAGUCCCAGUACACACCUAAGUUUAAAAAUCUUACCGAGUGGUGAGCGAGCCUCCCACUCGAGAGACUUAGCUGCAGUCCAGUACUCGCCUAAGCUUUCUCCACCUCAGAGCUGCAUUCCAAGCACAAGGAGUAUUCCAAGUAAAAACAAGUUCCAGUCGAAAGGAAACACCAGCAUACUCAGAAACAAACCAAGUUCGGAUAAAUCCCAAGGUUCCAAACGGCAGAUCAAAAGUAUUCGAGCAUCAAGCCCGAAGAAGUUUAACGGUUACACCAUCACUCGGCAUUCCGAGGCAAAUUUAAAGCGAAGCAUAGAAGUUUUACUCCUCAGGUGGAGGACUAGAGGGCGCGACAAACUGGUCCAGGUCAAUCCCGUCAGCAAUUCGAGUGGCAGCAGCAAUGAAGGUCUCCAUGAAAGACUGAAAGUUGUGCUUCCUGGUAUUGGCAACUUGGAGAUCCGCCAGCUUUUCCUCUCGCGCCUCCUUGCAGUGAACACGGACCAAGGGCAGAGCGACGUUAGCGCCACACCUAGCAGAAGACUUCUUCCAUUCCUGCACUUGACCUGGAACUUCAUUCAGUCGAGUCAUCAGAGACUCAAGGUCAUUUUGAAGCGUCGUUCCAGGCCAGAGCAUCAUGUCGAUCCGUGACGCCGCAACCUUCAGUCGAGCAAGGUAGUCCACCACUCCAGCAAUACGAGACUCCAGUCGGAGCACGUUCAUAGCAGCCUCAUCCUUCACCGGAGAAUGAAUGGGGUCCAAGUUCGUCUCCACUCGACUGGUCUCCUCCUCGAAGUUCUGGCAGAAUUCUGUAAACACAAUUCAAAGAUAAGUCAGUGGCUCUACAAUGGAUUGAUGACAACAAGUCAGUCGGGUAGGAGUGAUUACCCUCAAGCAUGACAAAUAACUUCUUGGCGAGCUCACCCAAAUAAGCCUCCAGAUCGUUCUUCUUCCCCGCCAGUUCACUUGCCUUGUCAUUCAGAGCUAUCUUGUCAUUCUUCAGACGGCUGGCCUCUUUGUUGGCGGCGUCGAGAGCAGUUUUUAGUUUGGAGUUCUCCUCUUCGAGAUUACCGACUGAAGCCAGCUUUUCUUCCGCAAACCUCGUUUUGUCCAAAGCCGCCUUCUGCGCCUCGGCAAGGUCAUGGUCCUUCUUCUUGAGAGCCUCCUCCAUUUUAUCUGCAAAACAAUCAACGGGAUCAACAUCAGAAAUGGGCAGAAAAGAAAGACAGUCGUCAAGUUCUCACCAGCCAUACCUUGCGCUUCAUCCCUCGCCUUCUGCAAGUUCUCCUGGGCAAGCUUCAAGUCGAGGUUGAGCUGGAUCUGUUUGUUUUCCAAUUCAGUAUAGCGAGCCACAAGCUUGCAGGAUUUUUGCAAAGAGUCAGUCGACAGACGUCAAAGAUAGGUUGCUUCCGAAGGACUAAGAGAAAAAUCGUAACAUUUCGAAGACUACCGUCGAAUCAAAAAUAUCCGACAGUAGUCUCCGGGACUACACCUAGUGGGUGCACUCAGCGUGCCCCCACUGGUUUGACCGACUCGGCUCGACCAGUCGACAGAAAGAGACUAAGAGGUUAUGAUCUCAUCAUGAUCUGCAAAAAAAGAGGGAGGUUCUUCAGACCUUAGUCGACUGCCAGCAAUCGACCAUGGUCUCGGGGACUACACCCAGUGGGUGCACUCAGCGUGCCCCCACUGGUUCCAAGAUCCCAUUCGAAAUGGCCUGACCAGACCGAGUGAAGAAAUUCGAGUAAAGCAGCACAAUAUAAAGACUACAGUCGACUGCCAGCAGUCCACCGUAGUCUCGGGGACUACACCCAGUGGGUGCACUCAGCGUGCCCCCACUAGUCCAAAAAAUUCAAUCGACACACCCAGUGGGUGUACAGAUGCAAAGAUCUUCGGAAAAGAGAGUCUUUAGAUAACACAUCCCAACAGAACAAGCGAUGGUCAACUAACCUGGACAUUGCUUUGAAGAGCUGAACUGGCAUCAUAGGCCGCUUGGCUGGCUUCUCGGACCACCUUCACCUGCUCCAUCAUGAUCCCCGCCUGGCGUAUAGCCUCUUUAGCAGCACCCACUUGGUCCUCUGGGAUGUGGUGUGUGGCAAAAAGGGAGGGCGGAUCAGCAGUCGACGAUGAAGGCCGAACACUCGUCAGCGGCACAACGAAGGACACAGAAGUCCGAGUGGUGUUACCACCCUCCUGAACUACUGUCUCAGGCGCUGACGCAGUUUGUGGUGUCUUGCCAGUUGACUCCUUCCUAUUCUUCCUCGCCCUCAGCGGCACUUCGUCAUCAUCAUCAGGAAGAUCAAUGACAUGAGGAGGAGCUAUAAGAAAAAUCCAAAGUUAAAGACGAAAAUCCAAUCGACCAGAGGAGACCGUCAAUCGACUAAGAGUGAAACAUCAAAAACUAUACCAAGGUUGGAGGUAACAGCGUCUUCCAUUUCCUGGUCGUCGUUCUUGGCGGAGAUCUCGGAGGUAGCAGCACUGCAGAUUUCAGAAACCAGUCGGUUUAGUCAAUGAGUCGACCAAGAGUUCGUCCAUGUUCAACAAAAAAAGCAAGUUCUGCUGUUACCCGGAAAUGGUGGGAACGGUCAUCUUCAUCUUGGGCAAGGCCUUCAGUGGCUUUGACGACGCCGCUCGUGGAUGCUUUGGCGCUUUUUCAGUCGGCGCUGGGGAAGACGUCCGAGGGCGUUUUGACGACUGCCCAACAGGCACGGUCGCCCUGCCUCGUUCGCGCGCAGGGUCGUGGGUGAGCUUGGAUCGCCUUUCCGUGCGGGGAGGAUCGACUUCUUCCUCCUCCUACUCUCCACUGGAGUCGUCGUCAUCAUCCUCCUCCCCUUCACCGUCAGAUUGCCACUCUUCUCCAGUUUCGCCUCCGCUCGCUUCCCCCUCCUCGACCUGCUCUUGCGCCCCGUUGGGCAUCGAGUACAUAUCAGUAAUGGUCUGGAAGACAACAAACAAGACAAAAGUCAGUCGACUAUUUUUAAGCAAACAAAAUGAAGAAAGCAAGGUCACAGUCAAAGAUGCAGAAUCGGACCUGGUCUACUUCGUACGUCUGGUCGAGGGGAGGAAUCCUCCUGGCUCCUCGGGGGUUGUCCUUGUUCCCUGUGAUACUUGACAGCCACCCUUCCAACGUCGCAUCGUCGACCUCCUUUGGAUGAAUCCGAGUGGUGUCAUCGAGACCCGAAUACAUCCACAUCGGAUGGUCACGAGCUUGGAGUGGCUGGAUGCGCCUCCGAAGGAAGACCUCUAAUAAAUCCAUGCCAGUCACCCUGUCGCGGACAAGCUGAACCACUCGACCGACCAACACUUUGACUUGCGCCUUUUCUUCUGGUGUCACUCUCAGAGAGGAAGGUUUUUCUGCUUGGUUCAGGGAGAAAGGGGGAAGGCCCGUCGCCUGUCCUGGAGUCGCCCGGUCUUUGCAGUAGAACCAGGUCGACUGCCACCCGCGGACUGACUCGGGAAGAGUCAUAGCUGGAAAAGAACUUUUGCUUCUCAUUUGGAUCACAAGGCCCCCGCACAUCUGAAUCACUUGCGUCCUCUCAUCACUCGACUUGGCUUUCUUAACCGACUGAGAACGACAAGUGAAAAUGUGCUUGAGGAGGCCCCAAUGGGGACGGCAACCCAAGAAAUUCUCGCACAAAGAUACAAAGGCAGCAAGAUACACGAUGGAAUUUGGAGUAAAGUGAUGGAGCUGCACUCCGAAAAAGUUCAAGAAACUCCGGAAGAAAGAAUGAGGAGGCAGAGAAAAUCCGCGGUCGAUGUGAGUGGUGAAGAGGACGCACUCACCCUCGCGAGGCUGAGGUUCGAUCUCGUUCCCCGGGAGACGCGCAGAUUCAUGGGGAAUGAAUCCCCCGUCGAUCAGAUCAUCGAUGUCAUCUUGCCGAAUCGCCGAGGGCAUCCAAUCGCCCUAGAUCCAGUCCUUCGGCAGAGCGAACCUCGAAGAAGAUCCGCCCCGACCGGACUUCCUGGCCUUCGCCCGCUUCGUCGCUUUCUUCGCACGCUCCAGGGCCGUCGUCUUCUCCUUCACCAUCGCCGCGGAUGAAGCUCGAACAGGCCGUCAACGCUGAGACGAGAGCAGAGGUGGCGGAAGAAUUCGAGAAGGAAGGGGAAAUGUGAAGGCGCACUGUUCAAAAGCCCUGGCCCGGCAGCUUAUAUGGGGUCGCUUCCGAGUGACUGACCUGUAGGCCCAGGCGAUCCUGUUAAAUCCCGCAAUAGUCACGCACGCGAUACAUGGCGAAAAAGGUGGCGUGGAGAUCGAGGAGGCUCCAUUCUAUCCCAUCCGAUUACUGCGGCCUCCUUCGUCCCCGCGCUUCCCGAAAUUCGAAUCCCGCGAAAUCCGCGGGCAGCAGAACAACUCGUCAGAUGGAGGAUCCCCUCCACACAACCACUCGGGAAUCUACAAGUAAAGGAAUUCACUCGAUUAAAGAAAACUAAGAAUGGAUCAAGGUGACUGAAAAAGAAGUUGGUGACGUCACCCAGGUUCAUUGAUCCGAAACAAGGUGUACUCAUGGCACGAAGAAUGGGUCGGAAGAAUUCUCAACUCCUUCCCCACUCAAACCUCGAUCCAUUCAGGGGCUAAUGAUGAAGCUAUGUACCUAGGGUAGGGUCAUGGACCUAUCCUAACUGCCCUACCCAAGGACAUCCCUAGAAGAAAUCACCUUUCAAUCGACUUGGAGGUGUUCCACUCGACAGACUCGAAGACACUCGACCACGAAGCAACCACUCGACCAAGACCCAACCACUCGACGGCCAGGAGACCUAAAGUCACUCCGCACGCUAACGGUCGGUCAUUGAGUAGCUUUUAUGGUCAUCAUAGCACUUUAUUAGAGGCGUUACCAGUAACGCCCGACCUUAAUGUACUUAAAUCCCUGCAUAACUGAGGGCCGGAGGGGCCUGGCGAACUCUAUAUAAGCCACCCCCCUCCUCAGUGUAAAGGGUUCGCACCCCUGUAAUUCAUACACACAUAAUCCAGUCGACCGCCUCUGGGCUCCGAGACGUAGGGCUAUUACUUCCUCUGAGAAGGGCCUGAACUCGUAAACCUCGCGUGCUUACAACUACUCCAUAGCUAGGAUCUUGCCUCUCCAUUCCUACCCCCUACUUUACUGUCAGACUUAGAACCACGACAGGUACGACUGCUGGUACAAGCGUGACUACUCGUACCACACCCUAUCGUGCCUCUAUUAAAUUUUUACCAAUGCCAAGAGACUCGGUAGUGCUCGUACCAUGGGCCAAAUUCUUCUUUGAAUGGAGGCAAUGUCUUUGACGACAUGGUAAAACCUAUGUUACAAGCACGAGCACUCAUACCAUAGGCUGUCUUCCCCUUUGACCCCAAAACCUUAAAAGCAUUUUCUUUUUCCCAUGUGUUGGCACCCUAGUUAGACCAUCGGUACGAGCCUGGCCGCUCCGACUAGAGGUCGUCUUUCUCUCUAGAAAAUAAGAUAGUUUUUGCCAAAACCCAGUAUGUACACGUGUGCGAGCACCAGCGCUUGACCCACCCUGUCUUUUUCUCUGGUUCCGUGAUAACUUGCAAAUUCUCUAGAAAUUUGCUUGUUUGUUUCCUAAUCUUAUUUUCUUAUCCUUAUCUCAUGAAACUGUGUGGUUAUGCCCUAAGGGGACCACCGGCGGAUUGUUGACCCAAAUUGUCAUUUCUGGUACCGACCAUAUUCUCUUUAGGCGGUUAUGCCCUAAUAGAAGUCAUACGUCUGGUACUAAUUGGAAGGAUCGAUGCGAUCGACUAGAGGGGGCGAACUACAAGUUUUAGGCUUAUCUUCUAAUUUUAGGGAAUUCUGGAUAAUGUAGGUUCUCUAUUUGUGCAACUAUGUGAACACAACCUGUAUGGAAAAUAAGCUCAAAGCAAAGUACGAUAGGCAACAAUCUAAUUAGCAAGCCAACAAGCAAGCAAGUGAAGGGAGAGAAAUGAUUAACCACCAAUUAGCCGACGAUGCGUAUAUUAUCUCAAAGUUCACACACUUCUGGGAGUGCUAAUCUCCAUUGGAGCAGUGCCAAAACCCAAGUCUGGAAAGCCACCAUGUGGAUCACUAUAUACUACCUUUGAGUCACCCCAAGGGAUAAGCCUCGAAUCACUCGGGGUUUGUCUCGAUGGCAACCACCACACCUUUACAAACUUCUCUAUGGCACACCAGAUGCAUGGAAACUUCUGGAGGAACCUAUACCACCUAGAUUAGUGAUGGCCCGUGCUUCCCUACACACCUUCACUCCCUUAAGCUUAUGUUCUUCCUUGGCUUUAUUCAGCAAAGCAGUCAAUCCUUCAGUAUGUAACAUAAACAAAUAAGGUGACAAUUGAUCACCUUGUCUCAAGCCUCUGGUUUGUUUAAAAGUUUCUGUUUCUUUUGAGUUAAAACGUACAUGGUAUUCCACUGUACUAAUACAUUGCAUAACCAGUUUAACCCACUCUUCAGGAAAUUCCUAUUUCAGUAGAAUACCUUCCAAAUACAGCCAUUCAACUCGGUCAUAUGCCUUAUACAUGCCCAGCUUCACUACACACCAACCAUUAUGGCCAUCUCUCAUCUCCUUUAUCACAUGAAAACUUUCAUAGAUAGUCAAUCACACUCAAUUAGCUAGAGUAUAGAAGCCCUAAGGCUCCCGCUCCUAACCCUACCCUCACUCCCGCUCCAGUGUCGUGCCGCAUCGGAGCGCCCCUUCCUCCGGUCCUCUCCAACACCAUCUCCCCUACCGCCACCGCCGGGGGCUCGCGGGCAAAGCUCGUGUGCCGCAGCGGUGGGGGCGAUGCUUGUCCUCGGCAAUAUCUGGUCAGAGGCAACGGUUGAUUGCUUGUAUCUGCGUUGGUAAUUCCCCGAAGAGGAGAGAAUGAUGCAGUACAACAAAGGUAAGUAUUUCCCUCAGUUAUGAAACCAAGGUUAUUAAUCCAAUAGGAGAACCAAGCAACACUAUGUAAACAACACCUGCACACAAACAACAAAAACUUGCAACCCAACGCGUAGAGGGGUUGUCAAUCCAUCCUCGGUAUUGAGAUAGAUAAAAUUGUAUGAGAUUUGAUAAAUAUAUCUAACUAAAACACACACAGAAAAGUGCAACACGGUAUUUUUAGAUUUAAUAUGAUAGGAAAUAGAUCCGGGGUUUGUAAAUUUCACUAGAGGCUUUUCUCAAGAAAAUAGCAUACGGUGGGUAAACAAAUUACAGUUGGGCACUUGAUAGAAAAGCGAAUAAUCACGACGAUAUCCAAGGCAAUGAUCAUGUAUAUAUGCAUCACGUCCAAGAUUAGUAGACCGACUCCUGCCUGCAUCUACUACUAUUACUCCACACAUCAACCGCUAUCCAGCAUGCAUCUAGUGUAUUAAGUUCAUGGAAAAACAGAGUAAUGCAAUAAGAACGAUGGCAUUAUGUACACAAGAUCUAUUCAUGUAGGAAUAGACCCCAUCUUGUUAUCCUUAAUAGCACGAUACAUGCGUGGCAUGUCUCUUUCUGUCACUGAGAUUGAGCACCGCAAGAUCGAACCCAUCACAAAGGACCUCUUCCCAUGAUGAGAAAAAUCAAUCUAGUUGGCCAAACCAAACCAAAGUUUCGGAGAAGAAAUACGAGGCUAUAAAAUCAUGCAUAAAAGAGUUCAGAAAAGACUCAAAUAAUAUUCAUGGAUAGAACUGAUCCUAAACCCAUAAUUUAUUGGAUCCCAACAAACACACCGCAAAAAGUCAUUACAUCAAAUAGAUCUCCAAGAACAUCGAGGAGAACAUUGUAUUGACGAUCAAAAAGAGAGAAUAAACCAUCUAGCUACUACCUACGGACUCAUAGGUAUGUGGUAAACUACUCACUCAUCAUUGAAGGGGCAACAAGGAUGAUGAAGAACCCCUCCAUGAUCGUUGCCCCCUCCGGCAGAGUACCGGAGAAGGCCUUGUGGCACCCCAGCUCAGAGCAACCGGUUUACCUUGCAUUGCCAGCCCAGAGAUCUAGUCUUCUGGCAAUACACAACAACAUGGUACAUAAACAACGACUUUAUUGAUGCUAGCGGAUUACAUAAGUCUGACAUUACAUCAAGAUACGAGGCCAAGCGACACACACGGUGCUGCUAGACAGUAUGUACAUUAUUUAAUGAACAUGACGGGGCCUCGAUCACACGAACUAUGCGGUAGCGGAAGAACGACGAAGUGGCACUCCAUAGCACAGGGACACCGACGUGGACACGGCCUAGACACAAGAUGCGCUCCGAUGCAAACCGAGUUGCCUGAAAGCUGGCAUAACACGCCAGGUCAGUACAUUGAAUGUACUUGCAAGCUCACAACAAACAUAAGCACGAUGACAAACAAUAUCAGGAUAAUUAAUCAGGUUAAUUCAAUGCAAGAAAAACUAUAGAUGCAAUGCAAACCAUGCGUGCUCCGAGUCUCACGGACUCGCUUACCAGACGGUUACAUAGUAACCAAACGAUGACCAUACCGGGGUCACACCUGAAACCAUUCACUCAUGAACACCUCAAGAGUUCAUGAUUCACUAUGAACCAAUGCAUCACAACAAUUACUUAGUUUGCAAGAUUAAUUAUAAAAGUUGAUCCAUGGUGUGACUUACUCACGAGUUAUUCCCAUAACCGAGGACGCGGAUAUCGAUAGAUUAAAUACACUCUGUAGAGGUAGCGCACUUUACCCACACUAUGGAACACCUGGCCUCGUAUUCCCAUUCGGGUGGACCAAAGCAUUCCGACGAAACCCUCCCUUUGUCAUGCACUCUCCCCGGCCACUCCGACCAACUCCCACUCAGGGCUAGGUCUUGGGUGGCCCCGUGUCUACCAAAGACACCAACGGCCACUGUCGUGCCAAAACGGUCCCAAACGGGGACAAGGUACCAGAAAAACAAAAAUGAGCACAUAAGGUUAUGUCUGCCUACCAGGCCAGGGUAUGCACACCCAUAACCUUCCCUCGCGGGAGGCACCGGUGAGAGCCACAACAAAGGACCGAAUCAAGACCUUCCCACAAGGUAAAUGUGGUCACACUGAAUUAGAAACCCAAUUCAGUGGCACCAUGAUGUGAUCAACAUCAUAUUCAAUUUGAACUUAAUCAAAUUUAACUUUGAUAAAAACUUUUUAUCAUUAACAUGAUAUAAUGCCAAUAAUCAUGCAACUACUCGUCAUGCAAAGCAAACAACUCAUAGUCAUGGAUCAAACUUAACAACAUGAUUAUCUUGCAAUACGUAAGAUCAAAACUCUCUGGUUAUAACUCAUUUUUAUUAUCAAGCAAUAUUUUUAUUAGUUCAUCAUUUAAAUAAAAAGUAUCACUUAAUAAAAGAACUUUCAUUAUUUACCACAACAACAUAGCUAGUGCAAAAUCUUAUUCUACUUGACCAAACAAGUUCAUGCAUUCAACCAGUAACUAAAACAAGUAUAUCAAGCAUACUAAAGUAACUAACAAUUAACCAAAUUUAUUUAUCAAAUUUUAAAUGCAAAUAAGAACUCAUAUUUAAGUAGAAAAUCACAGUUAUUGAAAUAACACCAUCCAAAUGCUGGUGUGGCUUGCCUUAGUGUAGAGGAGGAUCACACCCCUCUUGGUUUGCUUCAAGACAAGCUUCUCCUUCUGAAAAGAAUUUAAAACCAUAAAAAUAAUUUUCAAAACACAUUCUGAAAAUCACCAGAAAUUCUAGGCAGCAAGGAAAAAUCCACCUUUUGGUGUGCUGCUAGAGCUUUCUGAAACAAAGACAAUGCAAAAAGAAUCAAAUCAUUUGGACUUAUGGUUUAGAAAUGGUGGCUCGUCAAAGUUUAGUCAAAUUUCUGAAUAAUAUUUGAAUUAAACAGAAAUCCUGGGGGGGUGACGUCGAAGGCGUAAAACAGAAAUACGCCUCCACUCGUACCGCUUCGAGCGCGAGUGGUGAGACCGACAGGUGCGUCCCAUGUGUCGGUGGGAAACGACACCUAUGGAUCACGGGAAUCCCUUUCUGCGGUUGCGGGGCGCGGGGGUCGUGAGAAGAGCGGAUCGAGCAGGCAGUACACGAUUCCUUUACCUAGGUUCGGGCCACGAAGAUGCGUAAAACCCUACUCCUGCUUUGGUGGAUUAUAUGUUUGUGUUCUUGAGCUAGCUAUGGGGCAUGAGGAGCUCCAAAAAGCCGAAUCCUCUUCCUGGUCACCUGGGGCCUCCUUUUAUAGGGAAAGGGGCUGCCACAGUGGCACACAGGAGGUGGAAAGGGUACAGUGAUGCGAGGUUAUCCCUCGCAUUACAUGACAAGGUGCAUUUAAUGCGCCUUGCUUAGGUGUCCUUGCUUUAUCGGGGGCGGGGGAGAGCCCUGUCUCGUCCGUCGCCACUCUCUCCCGCGUCGACACGUGCCCUGGCCAGCGGUGGGUCUCCACGAGGAUCUGCAUGCCGCCACGCAGGUGCCUGCCCAGCUGGUUGGGUCGACAGCUGCAUAUGAAUGGUGGUGGAGGUGUGACUGGCGCGGGUCCGAUGGUGGCCCCGCGGGUGUCCUUGGCAAGGGCCUUGCCGGGACCCCGGCAAGGGUCUUGCCACGGCGCCUGCUGUCAUCCCCGUCAAGGCUCUUGCCGGGGGCCUUGUGGUCCUUCUUGGCUGGAAUCCCGCCAAGGGUCAUCACCUUUUUAAGUGGGCAUCUGGUCUUGAAUGUCUUCACAAAGAUCUGCACGCCACCAUGGGGAUCUCUCCCGAAUCCUUGCCCCAUGGGGGCAGUGGACUCAAGGGUGACCCGCUCCGUAGGUGUGGGGCGAGCUGCCACGGCAAGGGUCUUGCCGGGUUGGCAAAAACCGCCUCCCGGCAAGGAUCUUGCCGGGAGGGGCCCGCUUCGCCCCCUUUGCUCUUUGUGGUCUUGGUCUUGGCGUCGUUCUGCUCCUCUUUGGCUUCGGCCUCACCUUGGCUUACCUCCCUUGCCUUGCUCAGUGUGGUAGUGCCUGUGGCUCAGACUGCCCGUGCACAGUUAUAGGGGUACAAAAAGUGUACCCCUCUUUUUGUACACCGACAGGAUCCCCCAGGCCUGGGCCACACGUAAGCGCAAUCGCGUCAUUGGGCUAGGCCCAAAAACGGUGCGCGGGCAGGCGGGGCGGUUUUUACCGCGGUAAGUUUCUUUGCGCGUUGCGCUCCCCACGCGUCCCGCGCGUGGCGCGGCGUGGGGAGGCGUGUGUGACGUGAGCGGUGUGCGUGGGGCUGAGCUCCGCAUGCAUGCAUCAUGUUGUAGUAAAGGAGGCGGUUCGCGCCUUCCCCAUAAACGGAGGGAGGCGUGGAGGCGCGUUCCAUUUAUUGGACGGGGCCGAGGCGUGGUCUUCGAGGCGUCCACUCCCCACGAUCACGGGGUGGGGAGAGGUCGCCUUAUCCGUCGCCUCGGUUCUGCACGCCUGCCACACGACGCUUGGGGUGGCGAACGGUGGAGGCGGGAAACCAGGCCGUCGUGGGCCGAGGCAGCGGGUCGGUCCCAGUUCCCUGCGCCUUCUGCGUCUUGAUUGGCUGAGCGGGGCGGCCGAGCCCCCACCCCGUUCCUUUAUAAGGAGCGGGAGGGGGAGGAUGGCACCCCGCAUUCUUUCAUCUCCUCCUUCCUUCAGCGUCUGCUCCCCCUCCCAUCCGCUAUGGAGAGAGGGAACCCUGGUCCUUCAACGGUGGCGGCGAGGGUCGCCGCUCGACAACGCGUCCCUCCUUCUCCCGCACCUACGGUGGCAGAGCCAGCCGCAAGGGGAAGAGGGAGGGGGCGAGGCCGUGGGCGAGGUCGAGGGCGAGGUCGAGGCGCUCGGGGAAGAGGAGGACGGGGCGGCACGCCGGCCUCGCCUCCGCCAGUGGUUCCUCUUCCCAUGGCGGUCCAUAUUGGGGACGACCCUUGCGAGUUCUUCGUCAGGGUGCGUCGGCCGCCUCGUCGUCGCCUUCGUCUCCCGACUCCAUUCGCGCGGGAGAUGGAGCUGGAUCCGCCGGAGUCUCUGCGGCUGCACAUGAGGGGUUGCGGGAUUAGCGGCACACGGGUUCGCGUUGAUUUCCCAGCCCCUCACAUGAUGUAUCUUCGUCGAGGAUGGAAGACGUUCGCUCGCAUCCACAGCCUAACGGAGGGGCUCACUCUCCAUUUCAAGCUGAUGGAGGGUGGCCUCCUCUCCAUCAAGGUCUUCGGGCUCUUCGGGACCCGUGCAAGGUGCUGUGUGGAGAGUUCUUCCGAUAGCGAAGACUCUUCCUCGGGCGGGAGUGACGAGGAGGACAGCGGCAGCGACGACGAGGGCGGUAGGCGGCAGGAUGACGGGUCCGACUAGGUGUCGAGCGUCGCUCCGUGCGGCACCGGCGUCCCCAUCAUCCGUGUCGCCGGCUCCCUGAACUUCUCGGGGUCGUCUCCUUGGGCGGCUGGUGUUGGGAGGCUACGGAAGAGAAAGAGGGCGGGCGGCAAGGCUGUCAAGUCGGAGUACGUGGGCGUGAUGCCCUCGACAGCGUGCUGAUGUCCUACUGCCUCGUCUUCGAGCCCUGCUUCCGGCGCCGCCAUCACCAUCCAGCCUUUGGACGGCCACCGAGAUGUUCUCUUGGUGUCUUCUGGCACCCGUAGCUCGCCUAGGCGCCUCUUUUGCCCUUUUCGCCUCCUUGACCUGCCUCCUGAGGAGAGGGACAAGAAAAGGAUUACGGGCACCUUAUCUCUUUUUAGUUUGUAAGCCUUCGGGCCUUAGCUGAAUUUAAAACUUGUAAUCCCAUCAUUCAUGUUUUUCAUUCCCUACAGACUGUACCUGAAUGGAAUGUUUUUAAUGAAAAAGGGAUGUUUGCCGGGCCAUUUGUUGGCGGGUAGAACCCACGACAAGGAGUAAACCCUUGAUAUCUUUAAGAUAAACAUUUCCUCGCCCGGCAACAGGCCUUGCCGUCUCUCCACCUCACUCGACCCUUCUCACGCCCUUGGCGGAGGCAGGGAUGAGGCGGGUUCAGGCUCCUCAUUUCACCCUUUUGCUGUCGCGGCUACGCUCAAACCUGGCCCCAGGAGCGAGUCCUAGGGCCUAGAGUUAGAGGAGCAUAGUAGCUUUUAGGAAGAAACGAGGUUUCACAUACCUCAGUCCAUAAGGGAAUGCAUGACAAGGGAUGAAGAACUUAUCUAAAACUGCAGCCCCCGGCAACUCUGGUUCGCCGUGGGUGAAUCUUUGUACUUGCAGCCCCCGGCAACACUGGCUUGCCGGGGUCCAGAUGCUGGUCCGUCCCUCUUCGCCCCUUUUUUAUCCUCAAGAGAUCCGACAAGGAUAUCCGAGCCCUGCGAACCAAGGGAGACAAAAGAACGGCAAAGAGACGCACACUCGACCUCUAAGCUAGGGGUUAGCCGCCGCUAAGCACUAUCAACCCUAACCAAGGACGAGACUCGAUCUAGCAUGCAUGCUAUAACUUAGGGCGCCAGCGCUUCAUUUAUGCUCAGGGUCUGCGCCUGGCUUUGUACAAAGGGUUACAUGCAUCAUCGGCAAUGCUUGUACAAAAGGUGGCUUGCUGGGAGGCCCGACAAGCCGUGCCUUAUGGGUAAAACUUGCGAAGAUGCUCGAUGUUCCAGGAGUUGCUCACCGGAACGGCAUCUUCGGUCUCCAGGCGGACUGCACCGGGCCUGGUGACUCGUAUUACCCGAUAAGAGCCUUCCCACUUCAGCGUCAACUUGUUGGAAUUCUUGGCUGAUUGAACGCGCCGAAGAACAAGGUCACCUUCCUCAAGGCUCCGGGCAUGAACCUUGCGGCUAUGGUAGCGACGCAAGGCUUGCUGGUAGCGUGCUGCUCUCACAGCCGCCCGAAGACGAUCUUCCUCAAGGGGCAGUGCGUCGUCUUGCCGCAGUUGCUCUUGCUCAAGCUCAUCAUAAGCAAGCACUCGAGGUGACCCGUAUAUGAGUUCAGUGGGGAUAACUGCUUCUGCCCCGUAUACCAGGGCAAAGGGUGUCUGGCCGGUGGCUCGAUUUGGUGUCAUCCUGAUUGACCAAAGAACCGUCGGCAACUCAUCAAUCCAGCGCCUUCCGCUCUUGUGCAGUCUGUCAAAGGUCUUGGUCCUUAAGCCUCGCAACACUUCAGCAUUUGCCCUCUUAGCUUGCCCGUUGCUCUGCGGGUGAGCGACGGAAGCGAAUCAGACUUUGCCGCCGAGAUCCUGAGUAUAUUGCAUGAAGGUGCGGCUUGUGAACUGCGUACCGUUGCCGGUGAUGAUCCGGUUGGGUACACCGUACCGGCACACUAGCCCCUUGAAGAACUUGACGGCUGACUGAGCUGUGACCUUCCUCACUGCCUCCACUUCUGGCCACUUUGUGAACUUGUCGAUGGCUACGUACAAGUACUCAAAGCCCCCGACAGCGCGGGGGAAAGGGCCCAGUAUGUCGAGCCCCCAGACCGAGAAGGGCCAGGAGAGAGGAAUGGUUUGAAGGGCUUGAGCUGGUUGAUGAAGCUUUCUUGAAUGGAACUGACAUGCCUCACACCUGGUGACGAGUGUCGUUGCAUCCUGGAGGGCGGUGGGCCAGAAGAAACCCUGCCGGAAUGCCUUGCCGGCAAGGGCUCUCGACCCAAUGUGGGAUCCACAUAUGCCUCCAUGUAUCUCUGCGAACAGCUCCAGUCCUUCCUCUCGAGGGAUGCACUUCAAUUUCACACCGUUCGGUCUCUUCCUGUAUAGGACGUCAUCGACGAACUGGUACAUGGCAGAGCAACGGGCUACUUUUUCCGCUUCUUCCUGCUCCUCAGGAAGCUCCCCUGUCUGGAGGAAUCAGACAGUAUGUUGUGCCCACGCUGGAGCCUGAGGCUCGACGGCGAGGACUAAAGGCAGUUCCUCCGCUAUAGGGGCGACCGUCUCGACGGCAAGAGCUCGGCGUCCUACCGGAGCUAGCCGUCCCGUGGCGGGUUCAGUGUCCUCAGCAACAUCCUUGCCGGCGGCUCCGGGGAGCUCGGCGGGAAAGUACUUGCCGGGUCCUGAUUUCCUUCUCUUGUUCUGUUCUGUUGAUGGAUCAACAGAUGGCUGAGUUAGCUGAAGCACAAAGGUACCUGGUUCCACAGGUAGCUUGAGGGCAACGCGCUUCGACAGGUAAUCGGCGAUAUCGUUCUCCGUUCGGGGAACGUAUUUAGCCUGGAUACCGUCGAAACGCUCUUCCAGCUUUCUCACUUCAUCGACGUAGGCCUUCAUCAACGGGCUCUGGUAAUCCUUAUUGACUUGCUUGACGACAAGCUACGAGUCGCCCCUGACGAUGAGCUUUUUGAUUCCAAGGUACAUCGCGAUCCUAAGACCGGCAAGCAGCCCUUUGUAUUCCGCCGUGUUGUUUGUUGACGCCUCCCUGGGGAAGUGCAUCUGGAUCACGUACUUGAGGUGCUCUUCAGUGGGGGCGACGAGCAGUAUGCCAGCCCCGGCACCCUGGAGGGAGAAAGCCCCAUCAAAGUACAUAAUCCAAUCGCAACUUGCCUCCUUGCCGGGGAGAGAAGUCUCUUGGGCUUCUUCGUCAGGUGUGGCGGUCCAUUCUGCAAUGAACUCUGCCAGGACUCGGCUCUGGAUCGUCGAAGUACUUUCAAACUUGAGGCCAAAGCUGGACAGCUCCAGUGCCCAUUCCACAAUCCUCCCCAUCGCAUCUGGGUUGUGCAAUAUCCGCUGCAGAGGGAGGCGAGUGACGAUAGUGAUCUCGUGUGCCUGGAAGUAGUGACGCAGCUUCCUCGAGGCCAUGAGGAGGCCGAAGAGCAGUUUCUGCACACCGGAGUACCUCGACCUAGCCCCCUGCAAGAGGGAGCUAACAAAGUAGACCGGGCGCUGCAUCACUUUCUUCUUUGGCGGCACCUCGACCAACUGUGUCACCUCCGCACUGGUGGCGUCGGGCUCUGUUGCUGCCAUUACCUCGUCGUCGACCUCCCUCUGCGCCACUAGUGCAGCGCUGACCACCUGGUUCAUUGCCGCUAAGUAGCAGCAACGGCUCCUGGGGCCUGGGCGCAACUAGUAUUGGUGCGGAGGAGAGGUACUUCUUCAGAUCUUGCAAUGCCGCUUCGGCUUCCGGUGUCCACUCCAUCGGGCCCACCUUUUUCAGGAUCUUGAAAAAGGGAAGGGCGCGCUCGACGGACUUGGAUAUGAACCUGCCCAGGGCCGCGACGCAACCAACGAGCCGGCGCACAUCCUUCAUCCACUUGGGUGCUUCAAUCUGUUCUAUAGCUUUGAUCUUGUCCGGGUUGGCCUCUAUCCCCCGCUGCGACACAAAGAACCCGAGAAGUUUGCCGGAUGGGACACCAAAGACGCACUUCUCAGGGUUCAGCUUGAGGUUGAUCUUGCGCAGAUUUGCAAAUGUCUCCCGCAAGUCUGAUAUGAGGGUGGCCCUGUCCUUGGUUUUGACCACUAUGUCAUCCAUAUAAGCCUCCAUAUUUCUAUGGAGCUGGGGCUCAAAACCAAUCUGGACCGCCCUCGCAAACGUCGAUCCAGCACUCUUCAACCCGAAAGGCAUCCGCAUGAAACAAUACGUACCACAUGGGGUGAUGAAUGCUGUUUUCUCUUCGUCUUCUUUUGUCAUGAAGAUCUGGUGGUACCCGGAGUAGGCAUCGAGGAAUGACAACAGAUCACACCCAGCCGUGGAGUCAACAAUCUGGUCGAUGCGCGGCAACGGGAAGGGGUCUUUAGGACAAGCCUUAUUGAUAUCUGUGUAAUCAAUACACAGUCUCCACUUCCCAUUUGCCUUGCGCACUACGACCGGAUUGGCCAACCACGUCGAAUGGAGCACUCCUCUUACCAAACCCGCUGCCUCCAGUUUCCGGAUUUCUUCUAUGAUAAACUCUUGUCGUUCCAAAGCUUGCUUUCUGACCUUCUGCUUGACGGGCCGCACAUGAGGACAGACAGCAAGGUGGUGCUCAAUCACCUCCCUGGGAACGCCGGGGAUGUCGGAAGCUUGCCAUGCAAACACAUCGACAUUUGCCCGCAGGAAGGUGAUGAGCGCGUCUUCCUAUUUGUCGUCAAGGGUGGAGCUUAUGGUGAAAGCUCCUCCCGUGCCGUCCUCGUUGACGGAAACCUUCUUGGUUCCCGGCGGCGUGGCCCUGGACCUCUUGCUUCCGCCGGCGGAGCUCUUUGGCACGUCCUCGACGGCAGCGCUACACUCCAAAGAGGUGCGCUUGCCGGAGUGGGUGUCCGAGGUCUCACCGGCCUUCUUCUUCUCCCCCCCCGGGGUCCCGGCAGCAGGAGCGAGUGCCCCAGCGGCGGCAGCUGCUGCGACUGCUUGCUGGUACACUUGAUCAGCGCAAAUCAGCGCAUCCUUCUUGUCGGAGGGGAUGGUGAUGACCGUCACGGGCCCUGGCAUCUUCAGGGUAUUGUAGGCGUAGUGCGACACCGCCAUGAACUUGGCCAGCGCUGGGCGGCCAAGGAUCCCGUUGUAGGGCAAGGGGAUACUGGCAACAUCAAACACAAUCCUCUCCGUCCUGAAGUUCAGGUCGGUCCCGAAAGUUACGGGCAACGUGACCUUUCCCUUGGGUUGGCUUCUCCCCGAGCUAACCCCUUGAAACGUGUCCAUUUCUUCGAGGUCUCCAUCAGGGAUCUGCAGCUUCUCGACCAUGGCAGGCGAGAUCAAGUUCAGACCGGCCCCGCCAUCUACUAACAUUUUUGUCACCUUGAGGUUGCGUAUUGUUGGUGACACCAACAAUGGCAAGCAACCGACCGCAGUAGUGCGAUCAGGGUGAUCCUCAGAGUAAAAAAUGAUAGGUGUGCUGGACCACUUCAGCGGCCUCUGGGCAUCAAAUGACGGCUCUGCUGCUGUAAUUUCUCGCGCCCACUGUUUAAGCCAGCGCCGAGAGGCAUGCAGCGAAGCGCCGCCGUCAACGCACAUGGCCUCUGUAGCUUUCUGAAACUCUUGGUCGCCGGACUCGUCGUCCUCUUCGUGAUUGUCAUCUCCUGGCUUUUUGUCACGGCCCCGAGCGGGCCUCUCUUGUUGCUUGUCCUUGCCGCGACGGCCCGCCUGGCCGUCGCGUUUCUUGCCGGAUCCUUCAGCACCGUCUUGGCCCUUCUCCUUGUCCCGCCUCUCAUAUUCAGCCCUCUGCUUCUCAGCGAGGAGCUCAACCUGCCGGCAGUCUUGGAGAGCAUGGCCUUUGGUGCGAUGGAUCUUGCAGUAUCGCUUGUCGGAGUUGCCUGGCUUCUCGGCAACCGCCAAGGCCUGGCAGGCGACACAUCCGGCAAUUUCCUUGCCGGGGUCACCUGCCUUGGUCUUCUUGGUGGAGCCGGUGUCGUCAGACCCCUUGAUAGCAAGCACAGCUUUCCCUUUGCGCUUCCUGUUGCGGCGCCGGCCUUUCUUCGCCGGGGCGGCGGUGUCUUCUUCCGAGGAGUCGGUUUCCACGCCGGCAUCUUCGCCGGGGUACUUCCUCCCCUCUUCAGCCCGGGCACAUUUGUCCGCGAGAACAUAGAGCUCCGCGAGAUCUUUCACCUUGUUCAUCACCAGCUCUUCGCGCAUCUUGCGGUUCCGAAUGUUCUGAUGGAACGCGUUGAUGAUGGCGGCGGGGUGAACAUCCGGAAUAUUGUACUGCACCCGGCUGAACCUCUGUAUGUACUUGCGGAGACUCUCGCCUCCCUUCUGGGGAAUGACGUGGAGAUCACUCGCUUGGCCAUGAGCUUGGUGACCGCCAGUGAAGGCGCCCACGAAUUCAUGGCACAAAUCCGACCAGGAGGAGAUGGAGUCCACCGGCAAGUGCAUCAACCACGACAUGGCGUUGGGUUUAAGAGCCAACGGGAAGUAAUUUGCAAGCACCUUAUCAUCACGAGCCCCGGCAGCCUGCAUCGCGAUGGUGUAGAUGCUGAGGAACUCGGAUGGGUGGGUCUUGCCGCCGUACUUCUCGCCCACGUUAGGUUUGAAAGUGCGGUGAGUGGGCCACUGGAACUGCCGCAGCUCACGGGUAAAAGCCGGGCAGCCUACCUCGUAAGGUAGGCCCCCAGGGCUCUCCGGUGCUGGGUGGUCCACAGUAGGCCCCGCUCGCCUAUCUGACUGGUGGCGCGCUCCGCGCCGGCGCUCCGCGCCGGCGCUCGAUGGUGGUCCGAGCGUCUUCAUGUUCCUGAUCCCGAAGGACCUGGCGUUGGUCCUGGUGGGUCCGCGGGUCGGACGAUGCUAUGGAGAUUUCGUCGCCCGCAACGUCGCGACGGGCAGGCGUCCGUGGCACCAGGCGAGGAGGAGGCGAGUGCACCAUGGUCGCGGUGCCACCAGCCUUCCUGCCACUGGUACGCGGGACUCCGUCAGAACGUCGACCCAGGGGCUCCGUCAGGGUCGGCUCAUCUUUGUUGGCCACCGCAACAAGGCUUCGGAUGGUGGCUCUCCAUUCGUCGAGUUUCCCUGUAGUGGGAGGAAAGUCGAGGAGCAACUGCGCGCGCGCCAGGGCUUCUGCUGGCGUCGGUGGCAGCGAAACCUGCACGGAUCGCGACGCGCUUCGACUUCUGACCAUGUCAGAAGGAGCGCUACCACGACCGCGCGGUCGCACGCCAUGCUCACCAGCGCCUCAGCGAGCGGGCAGGUCUUCUACAUCCCGGGAGUGGCGCUCGGGGCUUUUCCCGCGGCGAUGCCCGGGGUCUUCGGGGUGAUCACGCCACUCGUCGCGCGCCGCUUGAGAGGAACACGCCGUCGGCGCCGGAGAGGGAGUCCUGGAGGCCCUCGCGCCGCCAGCGGGCGGGGCAGCAGCGACCCCGGAAGGUCCCGCGCCACCUGCGGGGGGCCCGGCUCCGUCUUUGGAUUUGGCGGCGUGCGGCCCGUUACCGGGCGCAUGAACACCGCCGCCUCCCAAACUCCGGCUGCUGGGACGGUGUUGGUGUUCACGAACAGCGGCCCGGGUCCUUUCGGCGACCGGUCCGCUGCUCGCCCACGUCGGGACGGGAUGCCCGGCAUCCGACGGGCCAACCGCCACCGUCGUCUUCUUCUUGGGCGCCAUGGCGAUGAAGAAGCGUUGAACUAACUGCUAAAGCCGAUUCUCACAUCUGCGCAGCCCCUGCCUGGCGCGCCAAAGAUGUCGGUGGGAAACGACACCUAUGGGAUCACGGGAAUCUCUUUCUGCGGUUACGGGGCGCGGGGGUCGUGAGAAGAGCGGAUCGAGCAGGCAGUACACGAUUCCUUUACCCAGGUUCGGGCCGCGAAGAUGCGUAAAACCCUACUCCUGCUUUGGUGGAUUAUAUGUUUGUGUUCUUGAGCUAGCUAUGGGGCGUGAGGAGCUCCAAAAAGCCGAAUCCUCUUCCUGGUCGCCUGGGGCCUCCUUUUAUAGGGAAAGGGGCUGCCACAGUGGCACACAGGAGGUGGAAAGGGUACAGUGAUGCGAGGUUAUCCCUCGCAUUACAUGACAAGGUGCAUUUAAUGCGCCUUGCUUAGGUGUCGUUGCUUUAUCGGGGGCGGGGGAGAGCCCUGUCUCGUCCGUCGCCGCUCUCUCCCGCGUCGACACGCGCCCUGGCCAGCGGUGGGUCUCCACGAGGAUCUGCAUGCCGCCACGCAGGUGCCUGCCCAGCUGGUUGGGUCGGCAGCUGCAUGCGAACGGUGGUGGAGGUGUGACUGGUGCGGGUCCGAUGGUGGCCCCGCGGGUGUCCUUGGCAAGGGCCUUGCCGGGACCCCGGCAAGGGUCUUGCCGCGGCGCCUGCUGUCAUCCCCGGCAAGGCUCUUGCCGGGGGCCUUGUGGUCCUUCUUGGCUGGAAUCCCGCCAAGGGUCAUCACUGGCAUCUGGUCUUGAAUGUCUUCACAAAGAUCUGCACGCCACCAUGGGGAUCUCUCCCGAAUCCUUGCCCCAUGGGGGCAAUGGACUCAAGGGUGACCCGCUCCGUAGGUGUGGGGCGAGCUGCCACGGCAAGGGUCUUGCCGGGUUGGCAAAAACCGCCUCCCGACAAGGAUCUUGCCAGGAGGGGCCCGCUUCGCCCCCUUUGCUCUUUGUGGUCUUGGUCUUGGCGUCGUUCUACUCCUCUUUGGCUUCAGCCUCACCUUGGCUUACCUCCCUUGCCUUGCUCAGUGUGGUAGUGCAUGUGGCUCAGACUGCCCGUGCAUAGUUAUAGGGGUACAAAAAGUGUAGCCCUCUUUUUGUACACCGACAGGAGCCCCCGGGCAAAGGCCACACGUAAGCGCAAUCGCGUCGUUGGGCUAGGCCCAAAAACGGUGUGCGGGCAGGCAGGGCGGUUUUUACCGCGGUAAGUUGCUUGAGCUCGAGAGGCACUGGAGAGCGGCUGCUGGACUACGGAGAUCGCUAGAGUCCUCUGGUCGGGGCGAUAGCCAGAGGCCUGCCCGACCGAGCUACUGCUCGUCUACGUGUUCGUGGAGGUGGUGUGGAUUGGUGCUUGGCUAGAAAUCGAGGAGGGGCGCGCUAUAUAUAGCCGGAGCGAGGGGGGGACGUGUCGCCGCCAGAGCUCUCUGGACACGCGGCGAAUGACAACGAGAAGCUCCAAAACAAGGGGGCAAACACUCAGCAUCAAUGCAGGAGCUUGCCCAUGCUCGCGGACGAGCACAGGAGGCGGUUGAGGAAGUGGACAAGCGCACGCGUGCAUUGUGGCAUUUUGGCUGUGACGUGCCCGUGCUUGCUGCGGCGGCUCCAGCGUCGGCGAGUGCCAGGGAGCGGUCAAAUGUGAUGGGUCGGGGCUCGUGGCAUGGCGCGACAGUCGUCGGCAAGCGCUGGAACGAGCACGCGCGAAACAGAGAGGAACGCGCCACCCAGAGCGCGUCGAGACGCUGCCAGGCGCCGUGUCCUCGCGUGGUCACCAAGCUGGCAUGGUCAAAACGACGCCCAGGAGCGGCCAAACCUUGUCUACGCAUUCGACCGUGCAGUGUUUAGUCUAGGAGUGGUGAUAGCUCAUACCCAGGCCGACCAGAUUGGACUCAACUCAGCUGACAAGUUUCUGACCAGAAACUUGGUCGCCAAGUUAAGCCACCUUCUAGAAGGCCAUUAGGGCUGAUCUCCUGGGGUUUAGGGUUUCUUAGGAGGGUGUUUAAGCUCAAGAAAGAUCAAGGCCAAAAUCUCAAGGAAAAAUGCACUUGCUGUACAAAGUGCAUUUUUGGUCCAGAAGUGAAAAGAUUUUCUACAGCAAAAAUAUUACAAAAAGUGAUGCAAUAUUUUUGCAUGGGAAGGUGUGCCAAGGUUCUAAGAAUAUUCAAGAAUUAAAUCAGAUUUUUCUGAGCAAGAAAAAUUGGGGUUGCUUUGGAGCACAAGUUUCUGAGUGAAAAAUGAAUAUUUUUCUUUUAUGAAAAUAUUCAUUUGAUUAUUUUGGGGAUUUAUGAGAGGAUUAAAUUAGUAGGUCACUUGGGUGAAAGCCAAGGAUAUGCCCAAGUGACAAGUCCAUUUGAAAUGAUUCCAAAAUCCAAAUCAAGUGAGGGAAAAAACCACGGUAAAAACCAAGUCCGAAAGAAGAGAGAAGACAAGUCCGGAAAAAGAGAGAAGGCAAAAUCCAGGCUGUCACAUGCCUCUAGAUAGGAUCUAGUGGUUCUGGAACUUGCGGCGGCUGGAAAAGUGUUUCAUCGACUCCCCUAGGGUUUUUGGGAUUUUAGAGUAUUUAUAGAGGUGGAUGUCAGUAGAGAAGCUUCCCAUGGGCUCCACUACCCACCAGGGCACGCCCUGGUGCCUAGUGGGCCCCACAAGCCUCCUCCCGUGCACUUCUUUGGCUCCCUAGGUGUCUUCUGUCCAGAAAAAAUUCUCCGAAAAGUUUCAUGGCAUUUAGACUUUGUUUGGUAUUGAUAUUCUUCAAAGUAAAAACAAGCAGAAAACAACAACUCGCACUAGGCACUAUGUCAAUAGGUUAGUCCAAAAAAAAUGAUAUAGAGUUGCUAGUAAAUGAGUAUAAAACAUCCAAGAUUGAUAAUAUAAUAGCAUGAAACAAUAAAAAAUUGUAGGUACGUUGGAGACGCAUCAGCGGUCCACGCCGGCCGGACAUAUGUCAAUGGCGCAGGGCAGCGGCGGCCAGUUUCUGCAUGCAGGCGGCGGCAUACGGUGACGUGUCCAGCACCGGUGGCUUGGGUGCCCGAUCUGAUCUCAGAUGGGUUUCGGCAGGCCGCACAAGCUGUUGUCGUGUACCAUCCCUGUUCCAUCAACGACAUGCUGCCACUGGGCUCUACUUGCAACACGAGGACGUUGGGGGCUCCAGCCCUGGGCGUGGCGGUGGUGGCCACCUCAUUCGCCGAAGUUGGUUGGCCUGAGGCUGGGUGGUCGAAUCUCAAGAUCGGUCAUCUAGUCCCGGCUGCGAGUUGGGGAGACAUAGUUGCCGAUGAAAACCGAGUUGAUGGCGGCGUUUUGCUUCGUUACCUUGUUGAAGGCAUCAUCGUGUAGCUGUUGUCGACCCACUCGUGCUGCUUCAUGGAAAACCCUAAGAUUUGGUCUUCUAGAUCGGACGAUGGCGGUACUGCGGUGCCGUUACUCUCUUGGGAGCAUCAUUUGUGGAGCAGCGCUAGAAGACAGAGGCAAGAGGUGGAGCGGCUUCGUCUUGCACGGAGCUUCGGUGGAGCUGUCAAAUCAUGCCUGACCGACAGGUGCUACGCUGAGUCAUGCCUGGUUGGUAGGUGCUACGCACAAAAAAUCUUCCAGAGUCUUCACGUCUGGACGGACGAGCGUAGGGCGGUGGCACCUUGGGUGUAAGUGCAUCCAGUGCCCCUUAGUGAUUUUGGUGUAUUGAAGACUUAUAGGUUAAGGGACUAAUGUGUUUGUGAGUGCACACAGGUCUAUAAGUCUAUGAGGAGUUUGAUAUUUACAGAGAAAGUCGACCCCUAAAAAUGAAUGUCUUGAACUGAAGACUUUGGCUUUCUGAAGACUUUGAAAGUGAAGAAAUUGGUGUGACCGUGAAGACUUAAUAUUCAUGCGAGGAAUAUGAAGUGUGAAGACUUUUGUUUUCGUAGUUUCGUUUUCUCUUUCGUGAGUCAUAGGAAACACCGUACUGUUAAAGGGUGUCGAGGUAAAACUAAGGAAAAGUUCCCAAGUGAUGCUCAUCUCAAAAUCCUACACCUACCAAUCCUUUCGAGUGAAGCCAUUGGAAAUCUCAUGCAAUUCAGUCAAGUUCUUCAGUGACAGAGAUGAAGAUCUUUUGAUCUCUGAGGAGUUUGUUCUCACUGAGGAGUUAGGAAUUCGCCAGUGCAGAUUGCCUACAAGUGAGGAACAUGAUAGCCCUGAGGAAUUUGAUACUCAAACAUCCGACCGUUGCUGUGCUACGCGCCACCUGUCCCAAAAUAUCUACCCUCCUAACAGUCAUAUCAUGGAAGGGCAUUUAUGUCUUAUCAUGUCGGGCUGCUCCCUAGGCUAUAAAUAGCCGCCCCCUACAACCACUAGCUGGUUGGUUGCUCUGAGAGAAACUGACACUUGUCAUUGAGAGCAUCCCAUCCUCCAAGGACUGUGAGCGAAAAUCAUGAAGUGAGGAAAACCCAAACUCAAACACCUACAAACCCAAAGUGAUUGAGCAUCACUGAAGAGAUUGUUCCUGUGUGGAACCGACACUUGUUACCUUUGAGGACUGUGCAUCCUUCAGACGGUUAGGCAUCAUGGUCUAGAGCAUCCAAAAGGAAAUUGUGGAUCGCCGAGUGACUGAGUUUGUGAAGGUUUGGAAUCACCUGAAGACUUACCACAAAUGAUUGGGCGAGGUCUGUGUGACCUUAGCUCGAGGAGAAUACGGUGAGGACUAUGUGUCGAGGACUGUGUGUCCUCAGGUUUAAAUACCUAGCCGCUCCAACCAGACGUACGACUGCCACAGCAGUUGGAACUGGUCUACCAAAUCACUGUCUUCACCGAGCUACUGGUUCUAUUUCCUCAACCCUUUCAUUUCCUCAUUACUGUGUUGUUGUACUUGAUCGUUUCUGUUCGAAGACUUUGACUGAAGACUUUCUCAAUUUCCUCAGUCCUAAUUCUUAAGUCACCUUGUCUUCAGCCUACUUAUCCUAUGUUUACGCUACUUGUACUUUGUGCUUGUUUUCAUUUCAUCAUGAUGAUUGUGCUACUAUUCUGUUAUGCUUGCAUCUGAAUACUUAUUUCGCUACUUGUAGUUCAUGACUUAAGAAUUUCUUCACCUUGAAAUUCCUUAGUGACGAAUUUGUAAAAAUCGCCUAUUCACCCCCCCUCAAGUCAAUAUAACGCACUUUCAAUUGGUAUCAGAGCAAGGUACUCCCUUGUUCUAUGUGAUUUUGGUUUAACCGCCUGGAGUUUUAGUUAUGUUGACCACAGGAAUGAAGAGUGUGUCAUGCCCCAUCUUUGACGGUCAUGAUUAUCCCAAGUGGAAGGCCAUGAUGAAGAAGCGCCUCAUGGCGAUGAACAGCGAAUUGUGGACCGUCACUGAGAUUGGUCUUACCAAUCUAUGCAAGAUGACGGAGGCUGAUGAUAUUCGCAAGUACACCCUACUUAACCUCACGGCGAAGGACAUAAUCUGCUCCUGUCUGUCCCAAAAUCAGUUCAGGAACAUUAUGCAUCUCAGUCAUGCGAAGCUUAUCUGGGACCGACUCUUUGAGGUCUAUGAAGGUCAUCAAACUCGUCAUGAUCCCUGGUUUGAGGAUUUCAAGGAAUUGCUCAAGGCGAUGACUUUCGAUCCGGAAUCAUCAUCCUCUGCACCAUGCCUUAUGGCAAAAGGUGCCAAGGUAACUGAAUGCUACCUAUCUGAGUCCAGUGAUGAUGAAUCUGGUGAUGAAUUUUGACCCAGCUAUACCAAACUUACCUCCCUUGCCACUAAACAACAAAGAGCUUUGGAAAAGGUUCAAAAUAUGCUAGAGAAAAGCGAUGACCUGUUGGGUGAAGAAAUGGAUCACACUCAAACCUUGACUGAUAAUCUUCAAAGACUUCAGUACAAGUUUGAUAACCUUCAGAGUCAUCAUAACACUCUCUUAUCUGAUCAUGAGAAGCUUUCUUAUGAAUUUCUUCAAAGAAAGCAAGAUAUUGAGAAGCUAAGGGAGAGUUAUGAAGAUCUUCAGAAGGAACAUGAUUCAUUGCUUGCUCAACAGAGCAGUGCCUCUCAGGAAAAAUUCAUUCCACCAUGUUUGAAAUGCAUUGAACGUGAAUCUGCUAAUUCUUCACCUGAAAGUUCAAAUGCUUCUAUUGCUGCAAAUUCUUCAACUAUCUCUGCUAUCACAAACUCAUCUCGGGAUGCUACUAGUAUCACUAACAAUGCAGGGCUGAAGGAAUUGUAUGUAACAGGCAUGUACAAAAGCCUCAAAGGGCAUCAAGCUCUUUGUGAUGUGCUUAAAAAGCAGAUCCUCAACAGGAACCCUAGGAAAGAGGAUAUUGCCUUUGAAAGGAAACUCAAUGCUGAUGAGACCUACUAGAAACCUGAGCAGUAUCCCAAAACCUCAUGGGUUGCUGCAAAGGGACCUCCCGUAGAUCUAUCUACUUUAUCUGGCUUUACAUGUGAAUCUUCAUAUUCUUCUGAUGAGUCAUUUGACUGCAACUAUAAACUAUUCAAAAAUCAGAAUGGUGAAGUCUUUGCUAGAUAUGUUAGCACUAACUGCAGGAACGGUCCCCCUAUGAAGAAAAUCUGGGUUCCCAAAAGAUGCCUUGAAAAUCUUCAGGUGAAUGUCAUCAUGACACCGCCUGUGAAGAAUAGGAACCCCAGAUCAAAUUCUUCAUAUGGACCAAAGUCUUCAUAUGGAUCAAAGUCCUCAUAUGGACCAAAUUCCUCACGUGGAUUAAAUUCCUCAUAUGGAUCAAAGUCCUCAUACGAACAUCAUCGUGCUAACACUUCUGUUUCGCAGGGAAAGACUAAGGGCUAUGAAUAUGUGCAUUAUUCUUCAAAUCAUUAUGUUCAUAAGUCCUCGAAGAAUUUCUCUGCUUAUUCAUAUGUGUAACGCCCCGAGACCGAUGUGCCAGGUGUCAUUCUGUUAUUCGCUAUUGUUGCGUUGUCAUUGCUUGCGUGUCAUGCAUUGCAUAUCAUGUCAUCAUGUGCAUUUCAUUUGCAUACGUGUUCAUCUCAUGCAUUCGAGCAUUUUCCCCGUUGUCCGUUUUGCAUUCCGGCGUUCCGUUUUCCUCCGGUGGUCAUUUCUACCUUUCUUUCUUGUGUGGGGAUUAAACAUUUCUGGAUUGGACCGAGACUUGCCAAGCGGCCUUGGUUUACUACCGGUAGACCGCCUGUCAAGUUUCGUAUCAUUUGGACUUCAUUUGAUACUCCAACGGUUAACCGAGGGACCGAGAAGGCCUCGUGUGUGUUGCAGCCCAACACCCUUCCAAAGUGGCCCAAAACCCACCUAACUCUGCUCCAUCAUCUCGGUCGUUCGAUCACGAUCGCGUGGCCGCAAAACGCACCUCAUUUGGACUCUCCUAGCUCCCUCUAUGCCUAUAUAUACACACCCCUCCGAAAUUCGCGGUUCAUUCUUCCCCUAACCCUAGAUCCAACUCCCUCCGCGCCGCCGGACGUUUCUUCCCGCGCCGGACACGUCCACCCAGCCCCGCCACCGCCACGUGUCUUUGUCUGGUUCGCCGAUGCUCGGUGCCCACUUCGCCGCGCCGCCGGGCCUGGAGUGCCCGCAACCGGCCCCCGCGGCCCAUCCAACGCCGCCGCCCAAGCCCACGGGGAGACCGGAUCCGCGCCGCCCGGUCCUCCCUUGCGCCGCCGCAUGCCGUCUCGACGCCGGCCGCCCGCUGACGCCGCUCGCCGCCUUCUCCAUCCUCCCGGCCUCUCUCUCCCGCAGGUGCUCGCCGGCGACGAGGCGUCAAGCUCGUCGUCCCGAGCCGCUCCCGCCUUUUCCGCACAGGAUCCGAUGAGCCACCGACCGGAUCUAUCCAUCCCCGGCGCUCCCCGUCGCUCUCCGACCGUCGUCGUGCCCUCCCCCCUCGCCGGGAACCCGGUGCGCCGUCGCCGCCAUGGAUCGGGAACCAGUUCCCCGCUCGAAGACGUUGACCCUCCGCGUGGGCCGGUCCACCUUCCCGGCCAGCGCAGCGCCGAGUCCAGGCCCAGCUCCCCUUCGUCCGACCCAGUGCAGCGCCAUUGCCUCUGGGCCUCCUCUCGCGGAUGUGGGCCGCCGUGCGAGAUCCGGCCCAGCCCCGAUGCCCCAAGCCGGCCUGUCUCUCCCUCCGACCGGGCCAUGACCCAGGGUGAGCCGCCCCAGCGCCCCCCUCCUCUUGUUAAUUUUUUUCCCUGCUGCUGGGCUAAGCCAGAUUCGGCCCGUGAUGUUUUUUUCAGCGUCUGGACGAUUUGUCUAUUAUCCAGAGAUUGCAGUUUUGCAGUUUAGUCCCUCAUGUCCAUGCAUUUAAUAACUCACAAACCGUGCAUCGGAUUAAAAUGUUUUAUAUAUGAAACUUGCUCAGAAUUUUGUGUAGAUUAAUAAUAUCCAACUUUCAUCUAUGUUUGAAAUGUUUAAAAUUUUGUUUGCAUUAAUUUGCUCCUAUGCCAUGCUAAAAUGAUUUUAUUCAUAACUAAAUAACCGUAGCUCCGAUUUAAAUAAUCUUUAUAUGUAAAUGGGGUAGAAUUUUGCCUAGUUUAACAUGGCGCACUCAUCUUGCAUGUUAAACAACUCUAAAAUGUGGCUUAGGGCAGAACAGUACCAAACCUUAAAUUAUGCACAUGAGGAUUUUUCGGACUUGUUGUUCGUUGCUUCCGGCCUCAUUUAAACUUGCCUAGAUAGGUAGUUUUGUUGUGCUUCACCUCUUGCCAUGUUAAUCAACAUUUAAUAUUGUUGGGUACAUAAACGAGAGUGAACUAAAUAAUUGAUGAGCUCCACUUAAUUUGUAGGAUUGCUUGUGCACUUUGCCAUGCCAUGCAUACUUAAACCGGACAUGCAUCAUACUCGAUUGUGCAUCAUGUCAUGUUGAUGCGUUGGUUAUUUACUAUGUUGUGUGCUUCUUUUCCGGUGUUUUCUUCUUCGGGUUGGUUCCGGUAACGUCGAGCUUGUGAGGAUCCGUUCAACUUCGUCCGUUUGUCUUCUUCAUGGACUCGUUCUUCUUCCUUGCGGGAUUUCAGGCAAGAUGAUCAUACCCUCAAAAUCACUUCUAUCUUUGCUUGCUAGAUGCUCGCUCUUUUGCUAUGCCAAUGCUACGAUGCCUACCAUUUGCUUGUCAGCCUCCCAAUUGCCAUGUCAAACCUCUAACCCACCGUGUCCUAGCAAACCGUUGAUUGGCUAUGUUACCGCUUUGCUCAGCCCCUCUUAUAGCGUUGUUAGUUGCAGGUGAAGAUUGAAGUUUGUUCCUUGUUGGAACAUGGAGAUGUCGUUCCUUGUUGGAACAUUUGCUUACUUGUUGGGAUAUCACAAUAUAUCUUAUUUAAUUAAUGCAUCUAUAUACUUGGUAAAGGGUGGAAGGCUCGGCCUUAUGCCUGGUGUUUUGUUCCACUCUUGCCGCCCUAGUUUCCGUGAUAUCGGUGUUAUGUUCCCGGAUUUUGCGUCCCUUACGCGGUUGGGCUAUAAUGGGAACCCCUUGACAGUUCGCCUUAAGUAAAGCUUUUCCAGCAAUGCCCAACAUUGGUUAUACCAUUUGCCACCUAGCCUUUUUCCCUUGGGAGUAGCGCAUACCGAGGGUCAUCUUUAUUUUAACCCCCCGGGCCAGUGCUUGUCUAAGAGUUGGUCCGAACUAGAGUCCUUUGCAGCGCCACCUCGGGGAAACUUGAGGGCUGGUUUUAGAUGUACGGAGCGCUCAUCCGGUGUUGCCCUGAGAACGAGAUAUGUGCAGCUCCUAUCAGGAUGUCGGCGCAUCGGGCGGUGUUGCUGGUUUAGUUUUACCCUGUCGAAAUGUCUUGUUGUACCGGGAUACCGAGUCUGAUCGGAACGUCUUGGGUGGAGGUCUAUUCCUUCAUUGACCGUGAGAGCUUGUGAUGGGCUAAGUUGGGACACCCUGUAGGGAUUUGAACUUUCGAAAGCCGUGCCCGCGGUUAUGGGCAGAUGGGAAUUUGUUAACGUCCGGUUGUAGAAAACCUAAAGUUGACCUUAAUUAAAACGAAUCAACUGUUGGAAAUAUGCCCUAGAGGCAAUAAUAAAUAAGUUAUUAUUAUAUUUCCUUGUUCAUGAUAAUCGUUUAUUAUCCAUGCUAUAAUUGUAUUGAUAGGAAACUCAGAUACAUGUGUGGAUACAUAGACAACACCAUGUCCCUAGUAAGCCUCUAGUUGACUAGCUCGUUGAUCAAUAGAUGGUUACGGUUUCCUGACCAUGGACAUUGGAUGUCGUUGAUAACGGGAUCACAUCAUUGGGAGAAUGAUGUGAUGGACAAGACCCAAUCCUAAGCAUAGCACUAGAUCGUGUAGUUCGUAUGCUAAAGCUUUGCUAAUGUCAAGUAUCAUUUCCUUAGACCAUGAGAUUGUGCAACUCCCGGAUACCGUAGGAAUGCUUUGGGUGUACCAAACGUCACAACGUAACUGGGUGACUAUAAAGGUGCACUACAGGUAUCUCCGAAAGUGUCUGUUGGGUUGGCACGAAUCGAGACUGGGAUUUGUCACUCCAUGUGACGGAGAGGUUUCUCUGGGCCCACUCGGUAGGACAUCAUCAUAAUGUGCACAAUGUGAUCAAGAAGUUGAUCACGGGAUGAUGUGUUACGGAACGAGUAAAGAGACUUGCCGGUAACGAGAUUGAACAAGGUAUCGGGAUACCGACGAUCGAAUCUCGGGCAAGUAUCGUACCGAUAGACAAAGGGAAUUGUAUACGGGAUUGAUUAAGUCCUUGACAUCGUGGUUCAUCCGAUGAGAUUAUCGUGGAACAUGUGGGAGCCAACAUGGGUAUCCAGAUCCCGCUGUUGGUUAUUGACUGGAGAACGUCUCGGUCAUGUCUGCAUGUCUCCCGAACCCGUAGGGUCUACACACUUAAGGUUCGAUGACGCUAGGGUUAUAAAGGAAGUUAGUAUGUGGUUACCAAAUAUUGUUCGGAGUACCGGAUGAGAUCCCGGACGUCACGAGGAGUUCCGGAAUGGUCCGGAGGUAAAGAUUUAUAUAUGGGAAGUCCUGUUUUGGUCACCGGAAAAGUUUCGGGGUUUAUCGGUAACGUACCGGGACCACCGGGAGGGUCCCGGGGGUCCACCAAGUGGGGCCACCUGCCCCGGAGGCUUGCAUGGGCUAAGAGUGGUGAGGGACCAGCCCCUUAGUGGGCUGGUGCACCUCCCACAAGGGCCCAAGGUGCCCAAGAGGUGGAAAGGGGGCAAACCCUAAUGGGAUAUGGGCCUUAGGGCCCAUAUAGGGGCGCCUCCCCCUUCUCCCCUCCCUUGGCCGCCACCCCUUGGCCCCAUCUAGGGCUGCCGCCCCCCCUAGGGGUGGGAACCCUAGAGGGGGCGCAGCCCUCCCCUUCCCCUAUAUAUAUGAGGCCUUGGGGGCUGCCCAGAACACGCGAUUAAUCUCUCGUUGGUGCAGCCCUGCAUCUCUCUCUCCCUCCUCUUCUGUGGUGCUUGGCGAAGCCCUGCAGGAUAGCCACGCUCCUCCAUCACCACCACGCCGUUGUGCUGCUGCUGGAAGGAGUCUUCCUCAACCUCUCCCUCUCUCCUUGCUGGAUCAAGGCGUGGGAGACGUCACCGGGCUGUACGUGUGUUGAACGCGGAGGUGCCGUGCGUUCGGCACUUGGUCAUCGGUGAUUUGAAUCACGACGAGUACGACUCCAUCAACCCCGUUCACUUGAACGCUUCCGCUUAGCGAUCUACAAGGGUAUGUAGAUGCACUCUCUUUCUACUCGUUGCUAGUCUCUCCAUAGAUAGAUCUUGGUGAUACGUAGGAAAAUUUUUGAAUUUCUGCUACGUUCCCCAACAGUGGCAUCAUGAGCUAGGUCUAUUGCGUAGAUUCUAUGAACGAGUAGAACACAAAAUAGUUGUGGGCGUUGAUUUUGUUCAAUAUGCUUGCCGUUACUAGUCUUAUCUUGAUUCGGCGGCAUCGUGGAAUGAAGCGGCCCGGACCAACCUUACACGUACUCUUACGUGAGACCGGUUCCACCGACAAACAUGCACUAGUUGCAUAAGGUGGCUGGCGGGUGUCUGUCUCUCCCACUUUAGUCGGAUCGGAUUCGAUGAAAAGGGUCCUUAUGAAGGGUAAAUAGCAAUUGGCAUAUCACGUUGUGGUCUUUGCGUAGGUAAGAACCGUUCUUGCUAGAAACCCAUAGCAGCCACGUAAAACAUGCAAACAACAAUUAGAGGACGUCUAACUUGUUUUUGCAGGGUAUGCUAUGUGAUGUGAUAUGGCCAAAGGAUGUGAUGAAUGAUAUAUGUGAUGUAUGAGAUUGAUCAUGUUCUUGUAAUAGGAAUCACGACUUGCAUGUCGAUGAAUAUGACAACCGGCAGGAGCCAUAGGAGUUGUCUUUAUUUAUUUAUGACCUGCGUGUCAACAUAAACGUCAUGUAAUUACUUUACUUUAUCGCUAACCGUUAGCUGUAGUAGUAGAAGUAAUAGAUGACGUGACAACUUCAAGAAGACACGAUGAUGGAGAUCAUGACGAUGGAGAUCAUGGUGUCAUGCCGGUGACGAUGAUGAUCAUGGAGCCCCGAAGAUGGAGAUCAAAAGGAGCAAAGUGAUGAUGGCCAUAUCAUGUCACUAUUUGAUUGCAUGUGAUGUUUAUCAUGUUUAUACAUCUUAUUUGCUUAGAACGACGGUAGUAAAUAAGAUGAUCCCUCAUAAAAAUUUCAAGAAGUGUUCUCCCCUAACUAUGCACCGUUGCUACAGUUCGUCGUUUCGAAGCACCACGUGAUGAUCGGGUGUGAUAGAUCCUUACGUUCACAUACAACGGGUGUAAGACAGUUUUACACAUGCAAAACACUUAGGGUUAACUUGACGAGCCUAGCAUGUGCAUAGACAUGGCCUCGGAACACAGAAGACCGAAAGGUCGAGCAUGAGUCGUAUGGUAGAUACGAUCAACAUGAAGAUGUUCACCGAUGUUGACUAGUCCGUCUCACGUGAUGAUCGGACACGGCCUAGUUGACUCGGAUCAUGUAAUCACUCAGAUGACUAGAGGGAUGUCUAUCUGAGUGGGAGUUCAUAAGAUGAACUUAAUUAUCCUGAACAUAGUCAAAAGGAUUUUGCAAAUUAUGUCGUAGCUCACGCUAUAGUUCUACUGUUUAGAUAUGUUCCUAGAGAAAAAUUAGUUGAAAGUUGAUAGUAGCAAUUAUGCAGACGGUAAAAGGCUUAUGUCCUUAAUGCACCGCUCAGUGUGCUGAACCUCGAACGUGGUCUGUGGAUGUUGCGAACAUCUGACAUACACGUUUUGAUGACUACAUGAUAGUUCGGUAAUGUUAAAUGGUUUAGAGUUGAGGCACCAAAGACGUGUUUUGAAACGUCGCGAAACAUAUGAGAUGUUUCGAGGGCUGAAAUUGGGAUUUCAGGCUCGUGCCCAUGUCAAGAGGUAUAAGACCUCCGACGGUUCUUCUAGCCUACAUACUAAGGGAGAAAAGCUCAAUUGUUGAGCUUGUGCUCAGAUUGUCUGAAUACAACAAUCAUUUGAAUCAAGUGGGAGUUGAUCUUCCAGAUGAGAUAGUGAUGUUUCUCCGAAGUCAUUACCACCAAGCUGCUAGAGCUUCGUGAUGAACUAUGAUAUAUCAGGGACUUAAAUGAUGAUCCUUGAGAUAUUCGCGAUGUUUGACACCACGAAAGUAGAAAUCAAGAAGGAGCAUCAAUUGUUGAUGGUUAGUGAAACCACUAGUUUCAAGAAGGGCAAGGGCAAGAAGGGAUACUUCAAGAAACGGCAAUUCAGUUGCUGCUCUAGUGAAGAAACCCAAGGUUAAACCCAAACCCGAGACUAAGUGCUUCUGUAAUAAGAGGAACAGCCACUGGAGCAGAAUUACCCUAGAUACUUGGUAGAUAAGAAGGCUGGCAAGGUCGAUAGAAGUAUAUUGGAUAUACAUUAUGUUAAUGUGUACUUUACUAGUACUCCUAGUAGCACCAGGGUAUUAGAUACCGGUUCGGUUGCUAAGUGUUAGUAACUCGAAAUAAAAGCUACGGAAUAAACGGAGACUAGCUAAAGGUGAGAUAACGAUAUGUGUUGGAAGUAUUUCCAAUGUUGAUAUGAUCAAGCAUCGCACGCUCCCUCUACCAUCGAGAUUGGUGUUUGCGUUGAGUAUAGACAUGAUUGGAUUAUGUCUAUCGCAAUACGGUUAUUCAUUUGAGGAGAAUAAUGGUUACUCUGUUUAUUUGAAUAAUACCUUCAAUGGUCUUACACCUAAAAUGAAUGGUUUAUUGAAUCUCGAUCGUAGUGAUACACAUGUUCAUGCCAAAAGAUAGUAAUGAUAGUACCACCUACUUGUGGCACUGCCACGUAAGUCAUAUCGGUAUAAAACGCAUGAGGAAGCUCCAUAUUGAUGGGUCUUUGGGCUCACUCAUUCUUGAAAAGUUUGAGACAUGCGAACCAUGUCUAUUGGUGUAUAUGCAUGAAGAAACUCCAUGCAAAUGGACCGUUUGGACUCACUUGAUUUUGAAUCAGUUGAGACAUGCAAAUCAUACCACAUGGGCAAGAUGACUGAAAGCCUCGGUUUCAGUAAAAUGGAACUAGAAAGCAACUUGUUGGAAGUAAUACAUUUUGAUGUGUGCAGUCCAAUGAGUGGUGAGGCGUGUAGUGGAUAUCGUUAUGUUCUUACUUCACAGAUGAUUUGAGUAGAUGUUGAGUAUAUUUACUUGAUGAAUCACGAGUCUGAAUUAUUGAAAGGUUCAAGUAAUUUCAGGGUGAAGUUGAAAGAUCGUCGUGACAAGAGGAUAAAAGAUCUAUGAUAUGAUCAUAGAGAUGAAUAUCUGAAUUACGAGUUUGGCACAGAAUUAAGACAUUGUGGAAAUUGUUUCACAACCGAUACAGCCAGGAACACCAUAGUGUGAUGGUGUGUCCGAACAUCAUAACUGCACCCUAUUGGAUAUGAUGCAUACCAUGAUGUCUCUUAUCGAAUUACCACAAUAAUUUAUGGGUUAGGCACUAGAGACAACCACAUUCACUUUAAAUAGGGCACCACGUAAUUCCGAUGAGAUGACACCAUGGUUUAGAGAAACCUAAGCUGUCAUUUCUUAAAAGUUUGGGGCUGCGACGCUUAUGUGAAAAAGUUUCAGUCUGAUAAGCUCGAACCCAAAGCGGAUAAAUGCAUCUUCAUAGGACACCCAAAGCAGUUGGGUAUACCUCCUGUCUCAGAUCUGAAAGCAAUAAGGGAUUGUUUCUAGAAUUGGGUCCUUUCUCGAGGAAAAGUUUCUCUCGAAAGAAUUGAGUGGGAGGAUGGUGGAAACUUGAUGAGGUUAUUGAACCAUCUCUUCAACUAGUGUGUGGCAGGGCACAGGAAAUUGUUCCUGUGGCACCUACACCAAUUGAAGUGGAAGCUUAUGAUAUUGAUCAUGAGACUUCGGAUCAAGUCACUCCCAAACCUCGUGGGAUGACAAGACUGCGUACUACUUUAGAGUGGUACGUAAUCCUGUCUUGGAAGUCAUGUUGCUAGACAACAAUGAACCUACGAGCUAUGGAGAAGCGAUGGUGGGCCCGGAUUCCGAUAAAUGGCUGAAGGCCAUAUAAUCCGAGAAAGGAUCCAUGUAUGAAAACAAAGUGUAGACUUUGGAAGAACUACUUGAUGGUCGUAAGGCUGUUGAGUAUAGAUGGAUUUUAAAAGGAAGACGGACAAUGAUGGUAAAUGUCACCAUUAAGAAAGCUCGACUUGUCGUUAAGAUGUUUUCGACAAGUUCAAGGAGUUGACUACGAUGAGACUUUCUCACCUGUAGCGAUGCUAAAAGUCUGUUGGAAUUAUAUUAGCAGUUACUGCACUAUUUAUGAAAUCUUGCAGAUAGGAUGUCAAAAAACAUUGUUUCCUCGAUGAUUUAUGAGGAAAGGUUGUAUGUGAUACAACCGGAAGGUUUUGUCAAUCCUGAAAUAUGCUAAUAAGUAUGCAAAGCUCCAGCAAUCCUUCUAAGGACUGGAGUAAGCAUCUCGGAGUUGGAAUGUAUGCUUUGAUGAGAUGAUCAAAGAUUUUGGUGUAUACAAAGUUUAUGAGAAACUUGUAUUUCCAAAGAAGUGAGUGGGAGCACUAUAGAAUUUCUGAUGAAUGUAUGUUGUUGACAUAUUGUUGAUCAGAAAUGACGUAGAAUUUCUGGGAAGCAUAUAGGGUUAUUUGGAAAGUGUUUUUCAAUGGAAAGCCUGGAUUAAGCUACUUGAACAUUGAGCAUCAAGAUCUAUAAGGAUAGAUCAAAACGCUCAAUGGAACUUUCAAAUGAGCACAUACCUUAACAUGAUCUUGAAGGUGUUCAAGAUGGAUCAGUCAAAGAAGGAGUUCUUGCCUGAGUUGUAAGGUAUGAAGUUAAGACUUAAAGCUUGACCACGGCAGAAUAGAGAGAAAGGACGAAGGUCGUCCCCUAUGCUUAAGACGUAUGCUCUUCAGUAUGCUAUGCUGUGUACCGCACCUGAAGUGUGCAUUGCCAUGAGUCAGUCAAGGGGUACAAGAGUGAUCCAAGAAUGGAUCACAGGACAGCGGUCAAAGUUAUCCUUAGUAACCAGUGGACUAAGGAAUUUUUCUCGAUUAUGGAGGUGGUAAAAGAGUUCGUCGUAAAGGGUUACGUCGAUGCAAGCUUAACACCUAUCCGGAUAACUCUGAAUAGAGAUACCGGAUACGUAUAAUGGAGCAACAAUUUAGAAUAGCUCCAAGUAGAACAGUUAUUUGGAAUAGGUCCAAAUAGAACGUGGUAGCUACAUCUAGGAGAUGACAUAGAGAUUUGUAAAGCACACACGGAUCUGAAAGGUUCAGACCCGUUGACUAUAACCUCUCUCACAAGCAUAACAUGAUCAAACCCAGAACUCAUCGAGUGUUCAUCACAUGGUAAAUGUGAACUAGAUUAUUGACUCUAGUAAACUCUUUGGGUGUUACUCACAUGGUGAUGUGACCUUGAGUGUUAAUCACAUAUCGAUGUGAACUAGAUUAUUGACUCUAGUGCAAGUGGGAGACUGUUCGAAAUAUGCCCUAGAGGCAAUAAUAAAUAAGUUAUUAUUAUAUUUCCUUGUUCAUGAUAAUCGUUUAUUAUCCAUGCUAUAAUUGUAUUGAUAGGAAACUCAGAUACAUGUGUGGAUACAUAGACAACACCAUGUCCCUAGUAAGCCUCUAGUUGACUAGCUCGUUGAUCAAUAGAUGGUUACGGUUUCCUGACCAUGGACAUUGGAUGUCGUUGAUAACGGGAUCACAUCAUUGGGAGAAUGAUGUGAUGGACAAGACCCAAUCCUAAGCAUAGCACUAGAUCGUGUAGUUCGUAUGCUAAAGCUUUGCUAAUGUCAAGUAUCAUUUCCUUAGACCAUGAGAUUGUGCAACUCCCGGAUACCGUAGGAAUGCUUUGGGUGUACCAAACGUCACAAUGUAACUGGGUGACUAUAAAGGUGCACUACAGGUAUCUCCGAAAGUGUCUGUUGGGUUGGCACGAAUCGAGACUGGGAUUUGUCACUCCGUGUGACGGAGAGGUUUCUCUGGGCCCACUCGGUAGGACAUCAUCAUAAUGUGCACAAUGUGAUCAAGAAGUUGAUCACGGGAUGAUGUGUUACGGAACGAGUAAAGAGACUUGCCGGUAACGAGAUUGAACAAGGUAUCGGGAUACCGACGAUCGAAUCUCGGGCAAGUAUCGUACCGAUAGACAAAGGGAAUUGUAUACGGGAUUGAUUAAGUCCUUGACAUCGUGGUUCAUCCGAUGAGAUUAUCGUGGAACAUGUGGGAGCCAACAUGGGUAUCCAGAUCCCGCUGUUGGUUAUUGACUGGAGAACAUCUCGGUCAUGUCUGCAUGUCUCCCGAACCCGUAGGGUCUACACACUUAAGGUUCGAUGACGCUAGGGUUAUAAAGGAAGUUAGUAUGUGGUUACCAAAUAUUGUUCGGAGUCCCGGAUGAGAUCCCGGACGUCACGAGGAGUUCCGGAAUGGUCCGGAGGUAAAGAUUUAUAUAUGGGAAGUCCUGUUUUGGUCACCGGAAAAGUUUCGGGGUUUAUCGGUAACGUACCGGGACCACCGGGAGGGUCCCGGGGGUCCACCAAGUGGGGCCACCUGCCCCGGAGGCUUGCAUGGGCUAAGAGUGGUGAGGGACCAGCCCCUUAGUGGGCUGGUGCGCCUCCCACAAGGGCCCAAGGUGCCCAAGAGGUGGAAAGGGGGCAAACCCUAAUGGGAUAUGGGCCUUAGGGCCCGUAUAGGGGCGCCUCCCCCUUCUCCCCUCCCUUGGCCGCCACCCCUUGGCCCCAUCUAGGGCUGCCGCCCCCCCUAGGGGUGGGAACCCUAGAGGGGGCGCAGCCCUCCCCUUCCCCUAUAUAUAUGAGGCCUUGGGGGCUGCCCAGAACACGCGAUUAAUCUCUCGUUGGUGCAGCCCUGCAUCUCUCUCUCCCUCCUCUUCUGUGGUGCUUGGCGAAGCCCUGCAGGAUAGCCACGCUCCUCCAUCACCACCACGCCGUUGUGCUGCUGCUGGAAGGAGUCUUCCUCAACCUCUCCCUCUCUCCUUGCUGGAUCAAGGCGUGGGAGACGUCACCGGGCUGUACGUGUGUUGAACGCGGAGGUGCCGUGCGUUCGGCACUUGGUCAUCGGUGAUUUGAAUCACGACGAGUACGACUCCAUCAACCCCGUUCACUUGAACGCUUCCGCUUAGCGAUCUACAAGGGUAUGUAGAUGCACUCUCUUUCUACUCGUUGCUAGUCUCUCCAUAGAUAGAUCUUGGUGAUACGUAGGAAAUUUUUUGAAUUUCUACUACGUUCCCCAACAUCAACCGCGUGUGUAACCGUGAUGGUCUCUUUCCGGCGGAGUCCGGGAAGUGAACACGGUUGUUGGAGUUAUGCUUGACGUAGGUUGCUAUAGGAUCACUUCUUGAUCAUACUUUUAUCGACCGUGCUUUGCCUUCUCUUCUCGCUCUCAUUUGCGUAUGUUAGCCACCAUAUAUGCUAGUCGCUUGCUGCAGCUCCACCUCAUACCUUUACCUUACCCAUAAGCUUAAAUAGUCUUGAUCGCGAGGGUGCGAGAUUGUUGAGUCCCUGUGGCUCACAGAUACUUCCAAAACCAGCUUGGAGGUGCCUAUGAGACCGUGCAGAUGACGCAACCAAGCUCAGGAGGAGCUCGAUGAAGACUUUGUCCGUUGUGUUGUUUCGUUCUAGUUGAUCAGUAGUGGAGCCCAGUUGGGGUCGAUCGGGGACCUUUGUCGCAUUUGGGGUUCUUCUUUUAUUUUGGUUCCGUAGUCGGACCUUGAUUGUAUCUGUAUGAUGUAAUGCUUUAUUCAUGUAAUUGUGUGAAGUGGCGAUUGUAAGCCAACUAUGUAUCUCUUUCCCUUAUGUAUUACAUGGGUUGUGUGAAGAUUACCUCACUUGCGACAUAUGCCUUCAAUGCGAUUAUGUAUCUAAGUCGUGCCUCGACACGUGGGAGCUAUAGUCGCAUCGAGGGUGUUACAAGUUGGUAAUCAGAGCCUUCCCCGACCUUAGGAGCCCCACUGAUUGAUCGUUUUAGCGGCCGAGUUGUGUCUAGAAAAAAUGUUUUGAGUCUUCUAGGAAUUAUAUAUAUCGGAGAGUUUAGGAAUUCUUUUUACUCCCAGUCCCUUCGUCACUCUGGUAAGGCAUCCUGACAUAGAGUUUUGACUCUUCUCUUCUCAAAUUUCACUAAAAAAAAA
Molecule: long non-coding RNA, 88556 nt
Filed under: Triticum aestivum (bread wheat)
Lineage: Eukaryota; Viridiplantae; Streptophyta; Magnoliopsida; Poales; Poaceae
Description: long non-coding RNA (TAES_LNC009630)
Rfam family: MIR1120/MIR1122 microRNA precursor family (bases 29581-29706)
Source: RNAcentral